This 75095-nucleotide long non-coding RNA is filed under the name Populus trichocarpa (black cottonwood). Its description in RNAcentral is "long non-coding RNA (PTRI_LNC004034)". Lineage: Eukaryota; Viridiplantae; Streptophyta; Magnoliopsida; Malpighiales; Salicaceae. The record is from RNAcentral.
AAGAAGAGGAGUUGGGAGCUUGAAUUGGGUAGUGUUUAGAGUUUAAUUACUUGUUUGGUAUGGCAUUCUAAAAACUUUUGAUCUGAUUUUUAAUGGCUUAAAGUCCUUAAUUGAUUGAAUUUUUUACAUUUGGAAAGUUAAGGUUCUUGAAUGAAUUUCAGGAAAUAAAAAUUUACUGUAAUUGUCAUGGGAAAUACUGUGAAAUUUAAGAGUAAAGUGAUUAAAUUAUUGUAGUUGAAGUAAAAAAAAAUGAUAAUUAAAUAGAGCUAGUGGUCGUCCAAUGAUGAGAGUCUUUCAAUCUUGUUUUAUGCUACUCUGUUAAUGCUUUAUACUUCAUGAUAUGAAUUGAUGAAUAAUGUAGGCAGUAGAACUAUUUUUUUCGAAUAUCUCUUUACAACUUCUUAAAUUUCAUGGAGAUGCCUGAUGAGGAAUGUAGUUGAUUGUUGGUCCUUAUUAGAUUUUGUAUGUAAUGGAGUUAUAAGACGUUAAUAAUUCAUUAAAGAUGUUAAAUCGGUAGCUAAAAUCCAUGAAAUUCAACAGGACUGUUACAAAAGGUGAGAUAUCUAAGACAAUAACAGUUCACGUCUAAGACAGUAACAUAUCAAACAGUAACAGUUGAUAUGUAAAACAAUAACAGAUCAGGUCUAAGAUAGUAACAGUUCAGGUCUAUGACAACAACAGAUCAAACAGUAACAGUUCAGAUCUAAGACAGUAACACUUCAGGUCUAAGAUAAUAACAGAUCAAACAAUAACAGUUCAGGUCUAAGAUAGUAACAGAUCAAACAGUAACAGUUCAGGUCUAAGACAGUAAUAGUUGAGGUUUAAGACAGUAACAGAUCAAACAGUAACAGUUGAGGUUUAAAAUAGUAACAGAUCAAACAAUAAUGGUUGAGGUCUAAGACAGUAACAGAUCAAACAGUAACAGUUGAGGUUUAAAACAGUAACAAAUCAGGUCUAAGACAGUAACAGAUCAAAUAGUAACGGUUGAGAUCUAAAACAGUAAUAGAUCAAACAGUAACGGUUCAAGUCUAAAACAGUAACAGUUAGACUUUCACGUGAAUACUAUAUGUAUGUGUGUGUGUGUGUGUGUGUGUGUGUGUAAUAACUGAGUCGUGCGAAUACUUGCACGUUGAGAUACUAACUCUGAAAAUAUACAUGAUAUGUGUAUGUAUGUUAUGAUGAAUAUGGAUUCUCUAUAACAUUCGGCUUGAAGGGAUUAUGACCAAAAACUUCCUUGUGAUUUAGGAGGAGCGACCAGGAUUGGAUCUUCUGUUGGGGGAGGUCAUGAGACUGGCGGAGCAAGUGCGUGAUUUUCCCUCCUCUUUGCACUUAUGCAAUUUAAAGUUUUUCUGGUGAAUGCAAUUACAAUAAAUGUCAUGUUCAAUGUAAAUAAAGUCUAGUGUAUUUAUAAGAUUAGCUUCGGCUAAUGACAUCCAUGAUAGGAUUGCUAGGAAAUGAAUUACAAGAUUAGCUUCUGCUAAUGGCAUCCGUAAUAGGAUUGCCGGGAGGUGAAUUACAAGAUUAGCUUUGGCUAAUGAUGUCCGUGUUGGGACACCCGAGAAUGAUUGAUAAGACUUGAAUUGUAAAGGGUAUCCGUGUUUGAAUGACCUGGGGGAAAUUGAUAAAUAUAAUUGUCUAAAAAUAUUCAGGUUGGACUGUGCAAAGUCACUUGGUUCAUGCAAGUAAAUAGGAGUAUUCAAAUUAAGAAUAUGCAAAUGAGUUUAAAUCAGAUUUAAAUGAUUUACAAGCAAAUUAUAAGUUGAUUGUUAGAAUUCCUAUGGAUUCGAUAGAAAAUUUAUACUUCAUUCGUAUACAUUACAUGAUCAUAUAUAUUUUUUUUAUUAACAUAAAGGUAUGCUUACUGGGUUGUUUGUGUAACAGGUCCAUCAAAUGUCUAGGGAGAUCAUUAGUUGAGGACUCCACUUUGUUAAGCUUAUGUAAAUAUUUAACUUAAGCAUAAUGAAAUUAACGCGAUUAUGCAGUAUGCUUUUGUGUAAACCUUGAUGUAUAUAUUAAAGUCUUAGCUUAGCAUGUAGUUCAUUAGUUAUCAUGUAAUUAACCUUUUUGAAAUGUUUAAGAAUACUUAUUAUGUUUUAAAUUCUCUCUUUACAUGUUAGUAUUUCCUUUUCUUUUAAAUUUUAUAAUAUAAUUUGUGGGCUAUGUUCAUAUUGAAUUUUAUAUAUAUUGUGGAUUGUAUGAGGUGUUGAAUAUUGAUGAUUGAAAUAAGGUCUGGAAUUAUGAAACCUUGUGAUGAUGAGUUGAUUGAGUAAAUUGAUAGUAGUCGAUAACUUGGAAUGUCCUAAAUACAAACGAACCUUUAUCGAAUUCUAUACAAAAAAUAAAAUACCCUCAAAUUAAGAGCGUAUGUUGAGAUUUUUUAGCGUUGAUCAAAUCAUACAGUCGGGUCUGUUACAGCACAUAUGAAGAAUCUUAUAAAAAGUCAGUAUUAAAAAAAAUCUAAUCUAUAUAAAAUUAAGAAAAAACCACAGAUGAAUAAUACCUACCUAAACAUAAACCAAAAAUUUAUUUGAAAAAAUAUACACAAAUAAUGCUUUAGUUUUAAAAAAAACUAAAAAAAUAAAAAAAAGAAUAUAUAUAUAUAUAAGGGCAAACAUGUCUGACCCACGUUUAAUUGAGUUUAACAAACAUGUCAAACCCACUUUACUUUGCACUUGGCUAACCAUCACGUCCACACACUCUGGACUUGGCGCCGGGCAAGUCUAGGCGCCAUGAGUCUGGCAAACAUGUCAUACCCACAUUUACUUAGGUCUAAAAACAUGCCUGACCCCCUUUUACUUGGGUCUAGCAAACGAGCCUGACUCACGUUUACUUGGGUCUGGUAAGCAUACUUUACCUAAGUUUACUUGGGUCUAAAAAUCAUAACUGAUUUACAUUUACCUAGGUUUGCCAAACUUAUUAGACCCACGUUACUUUGAAUAUGAUUGACCGUCAGGUCCACGCACUUUGGACAUGGCUAGCGCUAAGACCAGGUGCCUUAGGUUUGAAAACUUGCCUAACUCGCGUUACUUGAUUUGACAAUCACGUUUGACGACCCACGUUUACUUGGGUCUGGCAAUCAUACCAAACUCACAUUGCUUUGGACUUAGCUUACCACCAGGUCCAUGCAUUUUGGACGUGGCUGACACCAAGCUCGGGCGCCUUGGAUCUGACAAACAUGUUAGACCCAUUUCUUAUUUCGUCCUUAUACCUUUUAUAGAAGUUUUGUUUUUUUUUUUCAAUUUUAUCCUUCAAUUACAAUUUCUUAUAUGUUUUGUUUUUCAUUUUAGUUCUUAUUCUUUUAGUUUCAGUCAUCCUAAAUCCAUCCUUAUUUUUUUUUGGUGUUUCAAAAUCCAUCAUCUUUGUUUUGAUCUUUGAUAUUGGUCCUAUCUCUUUUGUGUGAUUUUAUUUAUUUACAAUUUAGCUCAUCAAUUCUAAUUUAUGUAUAUUAUAUUUUUCAAUUCAAUCAUUCUACCUUUGAUUUCUUUUUCUUUUCCCUUGGCUCUUUUUUCCAAAGUUCUUAUAGUUUUAAAUGUUACCCUUCAAAUCAAAUUUAUGAUUUUUUUUAAAUAAUAUUUUUUUUUCAAAUUUAUUAUUAAUAAUAAUAAUAAUAAUAAUAAUAAUUUUUAAUUUUACCCUUAAAUCAAAUUUAUGGUUUUUUUCAAUAGUAAUGACAUUUUUAAAAUUUAUUAAUAAUAAUGAAAAUAAUAAUAUUUAUAAAAUUAACAACAACAACAACAAUAAAAGUAGUACUAUAGUAAUAGUUAAUAGUAAUUAUGAUAGUGAUAAUAAUAAUAAUAAUAAUAAUAAUAAUAAUAAGUAAACAUGUAUGACUCAUGUUUACUUGGGUCUAGCAAACAUGCCAGACUCACUUUACUUUUGACCUGGUUGACCGCCAUAUCCACACACUCUUGACUUGGCGCAAGCCAAGUCCAGGUGCUUUGGGUCUGGAAAACAUGUCCGCCUCAUGUUUACUUAGGUCUGACAAACAUGUUAAACUCAUGUUCUGUGGGUCUGACUCGUUUCUUAUUUCAUCAUUAUUCCUUUUAUAGAAGUUUUGUGUUUUUUUUUUCAAUUUUGUCCUUCAAUUGUAAUUUCUUAUUUGUUCUGUUUUUUUUUUUUAUUUCAAUCCUCAUUCUUUUAAUUUCUUACUUUGUUUUUCUUCCUUUUUAGUUUCAGUCAUCUUAAAUCCAUCCCUAUUUUUUGUUGGUGUUUCAGAAUCCAUCGUCUUUGUUUUGAUUUUUUAUUUCGGUUCUUUUCUCUUUUGUGCGAGUUUUAUUUGCUUACAAUUUAGCCCUUCAAUUCUAAUUUGUGUAUAUUAUGUUUUUCAAUUCAGUUAUUCUACUUUUGAUUUCUUUUUUUUUUCUUUGCUCUUUUUUUCAAAAUUCUUAUAAUUUUUAAUUUUACCCUUCAAAUCAAUUUUUUUUUUCAAUAGUAAUAAUUUUUUUUUCAAAUUUAUUAAUAUAAUAAUAAUAAUAGAAAUAGUAAUAGUAAUAGUAAUGAAAAUAAAAAUAUUAUUAUUAUUAUUAUUAUUAUUAUUAUUAUUAUUAUUAUUACUACUACUACCCUUCAAAUGAAAUUUAUGGUUUUUUUUCAAUAGUAAUAACAUUUUUUUUCAGAUUUAUUAAUAAUUAUAUUAAUAAUAUUAGUAAUAAUGAAAAUAAAAAUAUUUAUAAUAUUAAUAAAAAUAAAAAUAAAAAUAACAACAAGAAUAGUAGUAGUAGUAGUAGUAGUAGUGAUUGUAAUAGCAAUGGUAAUAAUAACAAACAUGCUAGACCCAAGUUACUUGGGUCUGGCAAACAUGCUUGACCCAUUUUUUUGGGUUUGGUAAUUAUAUCUUACCCACGGGUUUUUGUAAUGGGCAGCAUAAUUUUCUAGGAGGAGAGAGGGAGGGACAGAAAAACCCCCAGUCGGAGCUUCUUCGUGGGCCGCCUUCGCACAAGCACCAUGCCAUUGUGCCUGGGGUGGCGAGGCGCAUCUAACCCCGCCCUGAAGGCGGUACUUAGUUCUUUUUUGGAGUCGCACGCGCCACCCAAAUGGUGCGGGCAGCGCUUGCUCAACAUGCUUCAACCAUUUCUGAACAUAAAUAAUAAUUUAUAUACAUACAAAUACCCAAUUACCCUUGAACCCACAUGAUAUUUACAAUAAAACCAUAUGAAAACUACGAAAACACCUCUACAUACAACUUUGUUUUUGUUGAAACUCAAUGGUAAUUUCAUAUUUGAACUAUUUCAAAAAAAGAAAAAGAUGGAGAAGCCCCUGAACACAUGUAUAUUUUCCUCCUCGGGGGCAUGAUUGUAUCUUCACUGUUUAUUUUUUUUUUUUGAAAUGACAAAGGAAGCCCCCAACCCAAAGGUUAAAAUUUGGUGCCCUUGAAAGGCAAAUCAAUAUUUGUACUAUAGCUUAAAAAACCUAAACAAACCAUUUUGUUCCUAAUAAUUCUUUCAAUGCCUAAUGUAUCCCAUAAAAAAAACAAUCCCACCCCCAACUACAUGCUUAGCAAAUCAAUAUUUGUACUAUAGCUUAAAAAACCUAAACAAACCAUUUUGUUCCUAAUAAUUCUUUCAAUGCCUAAUGUAUCCCAUGAAAAAAACAAUCCUACCCCCAACUACAUGCUUAGCAAGUUUCUUUGGCAAUGACAAUUUUAUCAUUACACUGCUACAAUCUACAUUAAUCUGUGUUUAAGUGAAUAGUUAAAGGAUGAACAGUUAUAAAUUAAGCUAUUUUAAUAUUUGUUGUAAUUAAUUUUUACUUUUAUAUGAACACAUGUCAGUUUCUAUUGGUCUCCAUUUUAAGAAAAAUAAAAAUGGAUGAAAAACUCAAAAACAAAGAAGCAAUAAGGAUUUUUGUCAAUUUCUUGAAUUAGUUGCCGAAGAAAAUUGUUUUUUUCUUUUUACAAGUUUUCGAUUCACACUAGAAAAAAAAUGUUUUAUUUUGAGAAGUCAAUAAAUAAAUAAAAUAUGCUUUAUUUGUUUUUUGUUAAUUCCUUAUUUUUGCUAUCACAAAAAUGAUUAGGAAAUGCUUAGUGAUCAUUUGAAUCUAUAGUCUGAUUUUUGCAUAAAAUUAUUUAUUUCUUAAGUCUUUUCUUUGACUUUUGAAAAUAAAAUAAAAACUAGCUAAAAAUAAUACAGCAUGAACAAAUAAAAACAUAUCUUAAAAAAAUUAAAAAUUGUAAAUUUUUUUAACAAAUCCAACAUAAUAAAUAAAGAAAAAUAGAGUUUCUACUAGUUCUUUUAGCUUUUUAUAAUAUAGUAAAAAGAACUUCCUACAUCAAUAAAAAACUCUCCAGAAAAAAUAUCCUCUAGGUGAUGCCACCUAAAACUCCAUAGGUUCUGAGUGGAUGAAGAUGGGAAAAAUUGAAGUGGAGGAUGGGGGCAUCCUCGUGGCGGAGAAGAAGGAGGGUCUUGCGAUGGAAAUAUAAAGCCCGCCCACGUAAGCCAUAGGAAUUGGCUAUUGUUGUCAGGAUCUUGGGUCACACAGUUCGACACACGACCUUAUGCACUGGACUGAAAUCUAAAACUAUCUGGAACAGAGCAAAGCCUUUUAAGGUUAUUGAUCCGAGGAAUGAGUUCUUUCUUGUCCAGUUUUCUACUAUAACUGCUUAUCUCUAUGCUCUAGUGGAUGGACCAUGGACAAUCCUUGGACCCAGCCAUGGGAUCAUAAUUUUCAAGCAUCAUUAGGACACGUUACAAGGGUGGUGUUUUGGGUGCAUUUUCCUUGCCUUACCAGUUGCUUGGUAACACGGUUACGAUUGAUUAUAAUACCCAGACCAAUCAGAAAGGGAAAUUUGCUCGUGUAAAGGUUGAUAUUGAUCUUGAAAAACCGACGGAAAAAAUUGAAGAUCUGGAUCAGAAAGUGUCUUAUGAUGAGGGGUUCCCACAAGUUUGUUACACUUAUGGUCAGGUUGGUCAUAAUAGCAUCCUUUGCCCUUUCAAAAUUCCUGAGAAAUCAACCAGUAAAGAUGAUGAUAAUGUUACUAGCGACCAUGGUUGCUCAGGGAAACCUUAUCCAAGUCAAGCUAAGUUUCAAAGAUAGAAGGCUAAAUUGGAUUAGUGCUGUGAUAUUCUAAUUUUGGAUUCCCCUAAAAUUAUUUUUUUCCUUAAAAAAACAAAAAGAAAAAAUAAAAAGAAAAAAAAGCAACAAAAAAAAAUAAAAAAAACUGGCAGCUUGACAAAAGCAGACUAAGAAGGGUUUCAAAUGCAUAGAGAAACCAAGAUGAAAUUUAGGACAAAAUUAAAAACGUAAUUGUACCCCAUUAUAUCCAAGGUUGAAAGACAAUGCAAAUUCAAUGUGAAAUUAAAUGAUUAUCGGAUGAAUUUAAUAAAAAUUAAGUUUAGACUUUUAAUAAGCAAAUUUGAUUUAAUCAUGAGCCUAAUUAAAGGUUUUAUUAAGUUAAAGAGUUAACUAGGGUCAGAUUAAAAGAAUUAACUAAGUGCAAUGACUUAAUUUGACUUUUAGUAGGUCAAAUUAAUUUUAUUAGGGACUUAAUUGGUGAAAAAUUAAGUUUGGAGAUCUAGUUUGGGCUUAAUUGAGAAAUUUUGAAUUUUAGAGAACUAAAUUUAAUUUUUUCAAGCUCAAUUGGAUGGAUUAGAUCAAGGAUAAAAUUGCAAGAAAUUAGAAGUUUAAAGAUCAAUUAAGGGUCAAAUUAAAGAAUUUCAAAAUCAAUGACAACUCUGUAAAAAGCGCAGAAAUUUGAGGGUCCAAUUAAAGAAGAGCAAAAAAUAAUAAUUUUUUUGAAAACACAGAUUGACCCGCGUUUCCAAAUGAAACCAAAGAGCAAGACAAGCUUUUUUCCUUAGCUACAAUGAACAAAUGAGAUCUAUUAUCUAACAUUAAAGGUCAAGAUCCCAUUAAUCCAUAAACCCAGAUGCACCCAUUUAUACUAUAAAAACUCCACAAAACCCCUACUAAGCAGUAUGGACAAAGAUUAAUAUUGCUAUAAAAACAAUGUCAUGAAUAGACCUCCUAACCAUGGCUACAACAACCCUUUCCUUAAUCUUUCCAGCCUGGAACAAACCCAAAAACAUCCCUCAAACCAACAACAACCCCUUCCACCCAUGACAACCAUCAUAUGACAGCCCUCAAACCUCCACAAAAUAACCCCGCAACAUACCUGAAACAACCCUGAAAUCAGCCUAAAAAUAGGCCACAAAACCACCUCCAAACAGCCAUGAAAACUCCAACCAAAACACCUUAAAACAGAUUCCAAACCAUACAACGCUUCAACCACCUCCAAACAGAAUUAAUAACUCAGAGUAAGUAAGAUACAAGUGAUUAAUUUUAGCUUUCCACACUGUAGAGAUAGUGAAUAAUUUGAGCUUAUACAAGUGAUUAACUUUAGCUUUCCACACUGUAGAGAUAGUGAUUAAUUUGAGCUUUCCACACUGUAGAGAUAUAUGCUCACAAACUAAAUUAUGAAGACUACACGUGAGCAAUAAGAACUUGAAAGAAAAUGAACGCUUUGAUAGAAAAUUCCUUCGCUCCUGAAGCUUGGUUGACAUGGUUGGCAUGUGUUCCCACAGAGUUUAAGCAGGAACAUACCUAACUGCUAAGAUUUCACAGAUCAAUGGAAACUAAUAAUAAAUUCAGAGUGAUAUCCAGAACAUCAGAAAACAAGCUCUACCAAAAUUAGUAAAUUUCAGAUGCUUACGAUCGGUUUCUCUAUUUAAGUGAUCAAAACCAUCAGAAAUCAAGUACUACCAGUAUGUCUGUGUUCAACUGCCAGCUGCAUGUGUGUCUCACAAUAAAAAGACUAACUAUUAUAUGCAUUGUUACAUAGAAUUAUGGCUCCAAAAUAUUGUUGAUGCAAUUUUUGACAGUGCAUAUGCCUGUACCCCUCAGGGAAUGCUUUAAUAAUUUUGUCACUGUUCACUGAUGAAAAGGAAUAUAUGUAACGCAAAGAAGUGGAGGAGGUAAAGGGAAAAACAUUGACAUUUUUAGAUGGUAAAACAAUUUCUUCUAAGUUUUUUAGUCUCAUAACAGAUAUGCACCAAGAUAAAAACCAAUAUAACUGUAAUUGCAAAAACUGAUUGUAAUCGCUGCAAUCUUUUGGAUCUUGAUUAUGUUGGUCCGCGAAUUACUUGAUCUGUGGUGGGGUUCAAGAGUUCCAAGAUAGAGGCUUAUUUAAUAUGGAGUGCAGAUUUUAUUGUUGAACAUUCUUAUAAAAUUGGACCCCAGGCCCAUAUAUUUGCAGCUCAAUAUACAUUCGUUAUCUAAUCCGAGGUUUAAGUGAUUUCAUGAAGGAGGCUUGGAGGAUAAUGGCUUUCUGAGUGCUAUAGAUGAAAAUUUCUUUUUUUUUUUUUUUUUUUUUUGGGACCAAACGACAAAAUUUUGGUCACAACAAUAUUAAAACAUGUUGUUUUAUUUAAAUAAAAUAGUUAGUACUGUUUUUGAGCUUUUGACCUAGGUUAUUAAUUUCAUUCUUUAAUCUUUUAAUUUAGUUAAUUAAGUUCUCAAUUAAAUUUUAAUUCUAAGAAUCAAUUUAAUUUCACCACUAUCAUGUUUCAAAAUGAUUCCCUGAAUUUAGCAUCCUUUUCAUUUUGCUUCUCGGUCUUGGAUAUUUUUAAUUUUAUCCUUAAUUGACUUUCAAACUUAUAAUUUCUUCAAUUUACCUUUAUUUUUAGUUGUAUUUGGUCCUCGAAUUCACAUGCCUUUUAUGAAAAAGUCCUUGAUUCUGAAUUUCUUCAAUUUGGCUCUUAAUUGAUCUCAAAACUUUGAUUUUCUUGCAAUUUUAUCUCUAAUUUCAUCCAAAUGAGUUCGGAGAAAUUAAAUCUAUUCAUCUAAAUUAAGCUUCCAAACUUAAUUCUUCACCUAUUAAGUUUCUAAUAAAAUUAAUUUGGCCCAUAAAAAAUCUAAUUAAAUCCUUGCACUUAACUAAAUCCUUUAAUUUGAUCCAAAUUGAUUAUUAAAUUUAAUUAAACUUUUAAUCAGGCCCAUGAUUAAAUCAAAUUUACCUAUUAAAAGUCUAAUUAAGUUUUUAAACUUAAUUUUUAUACAAAUUUAUUCAAUAAUCAUUUAAUUUAAUCUUGCAUCUGCAUUGUUUUUCAAACUUGGGUAUAAUUAGGUUCUCGAUUUUUAUUUAAAAGUUCAAAUUUUUAUACAAAUUUAUUCAAUAAUCAUUUAAUUUAAUCUUGCAUCUGUAUUGUUUUUCAAACUUGGGUAUAAUUAGGUUCUCGAUUUUUAUUCAAAAGUUCAAUUUAGUUACUCCAUGCAUUUGAAAACCUUCUUAAUCCACUUUUGCCAAUAUAUUUUUUCUUUUGAAUUUUAAAAAUAAUUUUGGGGGAAAUCUAAAAAUUAAAUUAUGACAAUAAAUAGUAUAAAAACUAAGAAUGUUUCUAUGAGUUCUUGAUUUUGAACCUGCACUAGGAUUGUUUCAAAUUCCUUGAACAGGAUUUUCCAAUCUCUUCUUAUGUUGUUUUUAAAGAUUGAAAGAGUUUACCUAAAACUUUAUUUCUGGUUUAAAAAAAAGCUUGCAAGGUAUUUGGACCCGGGAAAAAUUAGGAAUUCUAAAGCUUUGCAAGCUUUAUCAAUUAUCUAAUAAGCUAAAAGUGCAAAGUGUUUCAUUAUACAGUUUAUAAGUGAAACGCUUAGCUAUUUUAUUUUUUUUAAUUAUUUUUUUUGUUUUUUAUGUCUUGAUGGGAAUUUUAUUUUUUUUUGCUUUUUUUUUUGUGUUUUUUUCUUUUAAUGAAUUUUUUUUGUUUAAUUUAGUUUGUUAACGUUAAUUUUUUUAUUUAAUUAUCAGACUUUCAUGACACGGAUCCCGGGUUUGACGGGUUAACCUGGUUUGACAAGUUAACCCGGAAUAUUUUUUUUCUUUUUUUUCUUUUUAAUUAAUUUUUUCUGUUUAGUUUAGUUUGUUAAUGUUAAAUUUCUUUCUAUUUAAUUAUCAAACUUUUAUAACACGUAUCACGGGCUUGACAGGUUAACUCAGUUAAUUCAGGGUUAACCCGUCAAUUUUUCUUUUUCUAUUUAGUUAUCAAACUUUCAUGACGCGAAUUUCAGGUUUGACGAGUUAACCUGGUAUGAAGGAUUAACCCAGUUAAUUUAGAUUUUUCUUUCUUUUUCUUCAUUAGUUUUUUUCUUCCUGUUGAUUUUUUUUCUUUAUUUUUUUCUUUUUAAUUAAUCUAUUUAAUUAUCACACUUUUAUAACACGACCUUACAGCCAGACCCACAUCCAAGGCUCUUGGGUCCGGUGUUACAGUCAGACUCACUUAAACUUGAGUCAUGUAAGUUUAAUAUUAUUAUUAAUAUUAUAAAUAUUACUCUUGGAUCAAGCGUUGCAACUAGACCAAAGGCUCUUAGGCAUAUCUUUACAGAAAAACCUAACACUCUUAGAUCUUAGCCUUUUUUAAUAUUUUUUAUGUAAGAAAAAAAAAUUAACCUGUGGCGUGUGCCUUUGCUUUUUUUCUCUUUUCCUUUUUAAGCUUUUUAUUGUGGACUGCACAGUGUAGUCCACAGUGAAAAAGCUGAUGCCUUUUGUUUCUUUUUUUGUCUUUUUUCUUUUUUUUUUGUUUUUUAAUUAUUUUUUUUAAUUUAGUUUCUUAAUAUUAAAUUUUUUCUGUUUAAUUAUCAGACUUUCAUGACACGGAUCCCAGGUUUGACAGGUUAACCCAGUUGAUUCAGAUUUUUUUUUUUCUUCAUUAGUUUUUUUCUUCCUGUAGGUUUUUUUUCUAUUUGCUUUUUCCUUUUUAAUUAAUUUUUUUUUAAUUUAUUUCAUUAAAAUUAAAUCUUUUUUUCUAUUUAGUUAUCACACUUUCAUGACAUGAAUCCCAGGUUUGACAGGUUAACCUGAUUUGGCAGGUUAAUCCAUAUAUAUUUUUAUGCUUUUGACUAUGGACUGUACAGUGCAGUUCAUAGUGAAAAGGCUGAUGCCUUUUUAUUUGUUUUUUUUAUUUUUUAAUUAAUUUUUUUUGUUUAAUUUAGUUUGUUAAUGUUCAAAUUUUUUUCUAUUUAGUUAUCAAACUUUCAUGACACGGAUCCCGGGCUUGACGGGUUGACCUGGUUUGACGGGUUAGCUCAGUUAAUUAUGUGUUAACCCGACAAAUUGUUUUUUUCUAUUUAGUUAUCAAACUUUCAUGACACGAAUCCAAGGUUUGAAAGGUAACCUGGUUUAAAGGGUUAACCGAGUUAAUUCAGAUUUUUUUGUUUUUCUUCAUUAGUUUUUUUUCUUCCUUUUGGUUUUUUUCUUUGUUUUUUUCUUUUUAAUUAUCAUUUAUGAUACGACCUUGUAGCCAGACCCACAUCCAAGACUAUUGGGUGUGGUAUUGCAAUCGGACCCACUUAAACUUGGGUCAUGCAAGUUUAAUGUUAUUAUUAAUAUUAUAAAUAUUACUAUUGGGUCAGCGUUGCAGCCAUACCCAAAACUCUUGGGUAUAGUUUUAUAUAAAAACCUAACACUUUUAGAUCUUAGUUUUUUUUUAUAUUUUUUAUGCAAAAAAAAUUGACCCGCAGCAUCGCGCGGGUCAUGUAAUUAGUAGAAACUAAAACUAAUAAGGAUGAUGGGGCUGCUUAUGAAUCACAAAUUGUCACCUUAGAAUAGAGUCUGGGAUCGGCCCAUUUAAUUAUCCAGUGCCCAUUGUAGACUGUUAGGAAUUUUUCUUGCUGUUAUGAUUCAAGGAGCUGGAGUUAUAUUGCUUGUCCAAUUUCCUGCCAAGAAGAUUUGGAUCAACGGUAUAUAUUGUCCCAAGUGAGCAUGCAUGGCAGGGUAAGAUAUUAUUAGUACAAAGCUGGAAAGUCUAGAAGUGCAUCGCUUGCUGCUAUUUCCAGGGCACGAUAUCAUCAUUGUUGGGCGGCUUGGAAAGUUGAAAAAUGGAAGUUGAAAUGUGAAAAAAUGUCAUGCUCUGUGAUCCUGGCCCCCAUAUGCUGCAAGGCGUUUCUCCAACAGUUUCAUUGCAAUUCAGGAUUUCAAUUGCUAUAUGUUUGCAAAGGGCCCAGUCUCGAAGUUACCCCCUCAAUUCUUGCCGGAAUUAUGAAUGGGCUGAAUGUUAUAACGGAGACUUUUACAGGAAAUAUUGCAGAAGCCACCUUGCUGCGCCAAACUUCAAAGCUCAAGUGUUCCUUUCAGAUGGUGUGGCGGCGGCAGUGGCAGUGGCAGGGAAAACUAAUUUCCACUGCUGAGAAAUUUCCCACUUCAAAUCCACGCUGUUAUCCACUGAGAACAUGCCUAUGUAGCACGACAUUGCUUGGCAAUCCACCGUCAAAAUUUUCUGUCUUAUUUCAUACAAUUAAGAAUCUCGUUGUGUCUUUAUUAGCUCUCAAGAUAGGUGUUACACAAGUUUGUUAUGUCUGAUAUUGGUAAACAUGUUUUUUUUAAUGAUUUUGACAUUAUUGAUGUGGGAGGGGUUAUUGGAAAGUCCCUUCUUUCUUUCUUUUUCUUAUCUUCUAUAGUACAAUUAUCUUACUCCUAUCUUGAACUUAUAAUUAUGAGUUUCUUAACUCGGAAUUGCCAGGGAGAUGGUCAUAAAUUGUUUAUGCAUGCGUGUCAGUUUCUAAUCUUAGCAUAUAAGCCUACAUCUUUGAUCCUGGAGGAACGUCGUAUUAAUGGUAUUCAAGCUUCUCGGGUUAACUCUCAUCAGAUUUAGGCUUAUCGUUUUUCUAUGGUAUAUUUGGUUUUUAUGGGAUGGGAAUGUUACGAGUUUUUUUUUAAAAAAAAAAAAAAAACUAUAAGCAAUAUAUGCAUCUAAGCAUCACUCUAGAUGGCAUUACCUUUCUCUUUACUGAUAUUCAUAUGAAUUCCCAAAUUCAUAUUCAUAAUUUUCUAUGGAAGGAGUCAAUUAGGCUCUCACAGUCAGUCUCUGAUCAUCAGGGCCAUUGGUGUGAAUUUUAGUGUUAUUCUCUGCUCUAAUAAGAAAGUUGGUAGGUCUGAUUUCAAUUAAUAUAUGGAGUACAGUAUAAAAUUGGACCACAUGCCCAUAUAUUGGCAGCUCAAUAUACGGCCAUGUUUGUUUCCUGGAUAGUUUUCAGGAAAUUAUUUUCCAAACUUUCCUGUGUUUGUCUGUCAUUAGAAAAAUUGAUCAACGGAAAAUAUUUUCCGGUCAACGGAAAACACUUUCCAGUCAAAGGAAAAUUUAGCUUGAUUUCCAGGAAAGUAUUUUUCCUUUUAGCUGUGUUUGUUUUCCGGAAAGUGAUUUCCGGGAAACCACUUGCCAAACUUUUCUAUGAUUGUUUGUCAUUAGAAAAGUUGGUCAACGGAAAACACUUUCUAGUCAAAGGAAAAUUUGGCUUGGUUUCCAGGAAAGUGUUUUCCUGAAAAAUUUGGACGGAAAACACUUUCCGGAAGUUGUGAAAAAUUUAGAAAUGUCAUUAUUUGCUGAUUAUAUCAAAUUUAAUCCUCAAACUUUUGAUUGCUAUAUAUAUUUUGUUUUUAAUAUUUAUUUUUCAAUUUCAUCUCUUAAAUUUUAAUUUUUAUAUUAACUUUGAUCCUUAUUUUUAUAAUUGUUAUUUGCUUUUUCCUUAUCAUUUUUUUAUUAAAACUUUUUAUCUAUCAAAUUUGAUCCUCGUUCUUUUGAUUGUUACUUAUUUUAUUUGAAAUAAUUUAUGAAAUGUUAAUUAUUAUUAUUUUAAUUUCUUCAUCUUUUAUUUUUUUUAUUUUUUUAGAUUUGAUCUCUAUUAUUUUGAUUAUUAUUUAUUUUAUUUGAGAUAAUUUAUGAAAUUAUAUUUUUUUUCAAUUUCAUUCUCAUUCAACUUUUUAAUUUGUAAGAUUUGUUCCUCAUUAUUUUAAUAAACUUGAGAAAAAUAAAACAUCAAUAAGUUAUUUUUCAGCUUAUUUUCCAUGACAUAACCAAACAAUGAAAAGUGUUUUCCAACUUAUUUUCCAUUACAUUACCAAACAUCAGAAAAUAAUUCACUUUUCUGGAAUUCACUUUCCAAAAAAAAACUAUUUUCCAGUUAAUAAACGGGAUCUACAUUCAUUAUCUAAUCUGAGGUUUAGUGAUGAACAUGAAGGAGGCUUGGAAGAUGGCUUUUUAAGUGCUAUAGAUGAUUUUGUUUUAGCUGUUAAGCUUUGGAACAAGGAGGGUUUUGGUUGUUUUAUUUGCUUUUUUUUUUCUUGUUAUUUAAUUUUCUCGUAAUAAAAACUCUAGAAAAAAAGAUGUUAUUCUUCUUAAAAGAUAGCCUUCUUAGUAACGCCAAUAACCUAUAUAUAUAUAUAUAUAUAUAUAUAUAUAUAUAUAUAUAUAUAUAUGUUUAUUAAACAUUAAACAUCCUUACAAAACUUAAUCUUCCUAUAUCAUGAGUUAAUCUAUUAGAUAAUCUUCUCAUCAAUUAUAUUAUCAGCUAAUCAUUUAUAUCUUUCAAGGAGAAGAAAUUACACAAUAAAAACUUAAUUCAGGAGGAGACAGAUAGCAAUCUUGUAAAAUAAAGUGACGAUGUUAUCUAGGACCAAGUAUAGGAUAUGCAAUGCUGCAAUGUUUUAGUUAUUUUUAUUUUAUAUUUAUUAAUGAUUUGUGGUUAAGGGUGAGAGAAAUAUAUACAUAUAUAUAUUAGGGGUAAGUAAAAAAACCGAAAAACCGAUUAAACCGAAAAAACCGAAAAAACCGAACAGUGAAAAAAACCGAUUAAACCGAUUAAAAUUUUGAAAAAACCGGCCGGUUCGGUUCGGUUUCGGUUUUAUAAGCCUGAAAUCGAAAAAACCGAACCCAAACCGAAAAAAACCAAGCCAAAACCGAGCUAAACUGGUUUGAACCGGUUUUUUUCCUAAAAAACCGAACUGAACCGAACCAAAACCGGUCGGUUUGAACCGGUUUUGGUUUUUUAAAAAAAAAAUUAGUUUAAUUACUUUUUUUUAUAAAAACCGAACCAAACCGAAAAUAAUCACUCCUAAUAUAUAUAUAUAUAUAUAUAUAUAAAUAAUUUUAGUUAUUUUGUAAAAAGAAAAACCCUAGUCAAUGUUUAUUUAGGCUAAUGAAGUUUAUGCGCUCUUCCAUCUUGAUUCGUACGUGUGUUGAUUUUUGGUUGGUUAAGAAAGUCAAUAAUCAACACACGAAUAUUCAAGAUAUAGAAGGGUGCGUAUUAACAUGCAUGGACUUGCUUAAGAGGAUAUUCAAUUUUUCAUAGUAAGAGAAUAAGAAAGCACUAAAAUGUUGACGUUGAGAAACUAAAUAAUUGUAGAAGAAAUUAAAAGUGAAUGCAAAACAAUCGCCUACAACUAACUAUUCAAGACGAAGAUUUUCAAUUUGUUACUCUAUUUCUCGUACAAUUAAAUAUUUAAUUUAUUAAAAGAAAUAAUAAGUGGAAUCAAAUAUUGAUCAUCUAUUGAUGCGGGAAGGAUGCUCUUCCCUUGGAGGUUUUUCUCUUUUCUUUCGACUAGCAUUGCUGUUUCUGGCAAAUCAAUAAUGGUGCAAAAUGAGAUUAGCGUGGCAUGAACACUCCAUUUCUCUCUUUUUUUUCUCCAAUCUAUGUCAAAAUGCUUAAAUCCUCUAGUUACUGUUGCAAAAAUGCGUCCAAGUCAAAGUCUUCUAUAUAUUUGGCGUACUGACCAUGCAAAUUGUUCAAAAGAGGCUGGCUGGCUUUGAUUUGAGAUUUUUUUUUUUUCUUCAUCUUUAUCUUGAAAGUUGACUGUCGUUUUCCACAAGGUGUGAGGAAGGACUUUUCGGUUUUAAAGUCGCCUAUUUUUUAUAGACUGUUAACCAAAAAACAAUUGGUUGGUGCUUCUGUGGGAGCUUGACUGUAAUUUUCGUUGUAGUUUGGUAGAGAGUUGCUAGUUAAACUUGGACCACGAGACCCUCAAAAGUACUUGAUCAGAGGUUCUAACUUCUCUUGUUCAUACAGACAGCUGCUCCCUUAUUGUGUGCUGUACAAAGACUGAAAAAAGCUUCUAGUAGACAGUGGAUAGCGAAAGCCAUUUCAGGCAUGAAAUUAAUUCCACGCUUGAAGUUUCAGAGUUAUUGUCAUUCGCCUUCAGGUUCUGGUGUCAAAUCAAAGGCUGCUCGAUAAAACAGGAGCCAAGUCUUUCUCGGCAGCUCAUCUUGAAUAACAGAGUUCAGCAAGAACAACAGACUCCAAACCUCCCAAAAAUGUUGAAAAUAAACCCCAUUAUGUUCUCACUUCACUUCCUUGCCCUCUUCCUUUUUUUUCUCGACCAUGCAAACCCACAGCUCCAUGAUCAAGAACAAGCCAUUCUACUAAGACUGAAGCAAUACUGGCAAAAUCCAUCUUCUCUCGACCGUUGGACCCCAUCAAGCUCCUCUCAUUGCACUUGGCCAGGAGUGGCCUGCGCCAAUAACUCCAUCACUCAGCUCCUUCUUGAUAACAAGGACAUCACUGGAACAAUCCCACCCUUUAUUUCUGACCUUAAGAACCUCAAAGUUCUUAAUUUUUCCAAUAACAGCAUUAUUGGAAAGUUCCCUGUAGCUGUCUACAACUUUUCCAAGUUAGAGAUCUUAGACCUCUCUCAAAACUACUUUGUUGGCACCAUUCCUGAUGAUAUUGACAGUUUGUCUCGGCUCUCGUACCUCAACCUCUGUGCUAAUAACUUCACUGGCAACAUUCCAGCUGCCAUUGGGCGGAUACCAGAGCUAAGAACUCUUUAUCUUCAUGAUAAUCUGUUUAAUGGUACUUUCCCUGCAGAAAUCGGAAACUUGUCCAAACUUGAAGAGUUAUAUAUGUCUCACAAUGGGUUUCUUCCAUCAAAGUUGCCUUCCAGUUUCACCCAGCUGAAGAAACUGAGGGAAUUGUGGAUUUUUGAAGCGAAUUUGAUUGGCGAGAUCCCACAAAUGAUUGGGGAAAUGGUGGCACUGGAGCACUUGGAUUUAUCAAAGAAUGAAUUGACUGGGAGUAUCCCAAACGGCUUGUUCAUGUUGAAGAAUUUGAAGUUUCUGUUUCUUUACAAGAACUUGCUAUCUGGGGAGAUCCCUCAGGUUGUUGAAGCUUUGAACUCGAUUGUCAUCGAUCUUUCAUGGAACAAUUUGAAUGGGACAAUACCUGUUGAUUUUGGGAAGCUUGACAAAUUAUCAGGUUUGAGUUUGUCCUUCAAUCAGUUAUCUGGUGAAAUCCCAGAAAGCAUUGGUCGUCUUCCCGCGUUGAAAGAUUUUGCGUUGUUUAGCAACAAUUUAUCAGGGCCAAUCCCGCCAGAUCUUGGGCGAUACUCAGCCCUUGACGGCUUCCAGGUUGCUUCCAAUAGGCUUACAGGGAACCUGCCUGAAUAUUUAUGCCAUGGAGGUAGCUUAACAGGAGUGGUAGCUUUUGAUAAUAAGCUCGGUGGAGAGUUGCCAAAAUCACUUGAGAAUUGCAGUAGUUUGCUAACAGUAAGAAUCUCAAACAACGCAUUUUUUGGUAAUAUUCCUGUUGGUUUAUGGACAGCUUUAAAUUUGCAACAACUGAUGAUAAAUGAUAAUUUGUUCACUGGAGAGCUUCCUAAUGAAGUGUCAACUAGUCUUUCACGGCUCGAGAUAAGUAACAACAAGUUCUCUGGUAGUAUUUCCAUUGAAGGGAAUUCUUGGAGGAAUCUGGUAGUCUUCAAUGCGAGCAAUAACCAAUUUACUGGCACUAUCCCUCUUGAAUUAACCGCUCUUCCUAAUCUGACGGUUCUUUUACUUGAUAAGAACCAGCUUACCGGAGCACUUCCAUCUGACAUCAUCUCAUGGAAAUCUUUAACUACUCUAAACCUCAGUCAAAAUCAGCUCUCUGGACAGAUUCCAGAGGAGAUUGCUAUCCUACCUCACCUGCUCGAACUGGACUUGUCAGAUAAUCAAUUUUCUGGCCAAAUUCCACCUCAACUCGGUUUGCUGAGACUUACGUAUCUCAAUCUCUCUUCAAAUCAUCUCGUGGGAAAAAUCCCAGCUGAGUAUGAAAAUGCAGCAUAUUCCAGUAGCUUCUUGAACAAUCCUGGUAUUUGUGCAAGUAGGCCAUCGCUAUACCUUAAGGUUUGCAUUUCCAGACCCCAAAAAUCAAGCAAAACUUCAACCCAACUCCUAGCCUUGAUAUUAAGUGUUUUGAUUACAGCUUUUCUGUUAGCAUUGUUAUUUGCAUUCAUCAUUAUCAGAGUUCACUGGAAGAGAAACCAUAGAUCGGAUUCAGAAUGGAAGUUCAUUAACUUCCAUAGGUUGAAUUUUACUGAAUCAAACAUACUGUCAGGAUUGACAGAAAGCAACCUGAUAGGAAGCGGUGGAUCAGGAAAAGUAUAUCGUGUUGCUGCAAAUGGCUCGAGUGUUGUUGCUGUGAAAAGAAUCUGGAAUAACAGACCGUUGGAGAAGAAACUUGAAAAGGAGUUCCUUGCAGAAGUUGAGAUACUGAGUACAAUAAGGCAUUUGAACAUAGUGAAGUUGCUCUGUUGUAUUGUCAAUGACAAUUCGAAACUUCUUGUCUACGAGUAUCUGGUGAAUCAUAGUCUCGAUCAAUGGCUGCAUACAGCAAGGCGAUCAAACAGUGCAUCAACUUCAGUAAAUCAUGUUGUUCUGGACUGGCCGAAGAGACUGCAGAUAGCAGUGGGAGCUGCUCAGGGUCUGUGCUACCUGCAUCACGACUGCUCUCCCCCAAUAGUUCACCGAGAUGUCAAGUCAAGCAAUAUCUUGUUGGAUUCUGAGUUUAAUGCAAAAAUUGCUGAUUUUGGUUUAGCAAAGAUGCUGAUUAAGCAGGAAGAACUUGCCACCGUGUCAGCUGUUGCCGGUUCUUUUGGUUACAUAGCUCCAGGUAAAAGAUCACUCUUCAGGUCUUAUCCUUGUGUAUUUGCUUCCUUGCCCUUCUUUUCCAGUACCUAAUAUUGAAGUUUCUUAUUUUACAACUUGAAUCGCAGAGUAUGCUCAAACAGUUAGAGUAAAUGAGAAGACCGAUGUUUAUAGCUUUGGGGUUGUCCUUCUAGAACUAACAACGGGAAAAGCAGCAAAUUAUGGUGAUGAGCAUACAGGCCUCGCCAAAUGGGCAUUGCGUCACAUGCAAGAAGGAAAAACUAUAGUCGAUGCCUUAGAUGACGAGAUAAAGGAACCUUGUUACGUGGAUGAAAUGAGCAAUGUUUUCCUAUUGGGGGUUUUCUGUACCAGCGAAGUGCCUUCUGCUAGGCCUCACAUGAAGGAGGUUUUGCAAAUCUUACUCGGAAGGAACCAUCCAUUGGUCUACGGAGUGAAGAACAUUGGAAGUGAGUAUGAUUCCACUCCUUUGCUUAAGAACUCAAAACGCGAGGGGCAAUCAGAAAGUGACAGCACUUUGGCAUCCGAUAAUUGAUCACUCUGCUUUAUGCACAGAAAUCACCACUACUCCCUGCUUACCUUGAGAAUAAGGAGUGUUAUUUUUGAGUUCAAAUUGUAAAAUUUGCAUAGUUAGGCACAUAAUGAGCUAGUAUAAGUCUAAGAUAGUAGAUACCAUCUAAAUCUUCAGAGAAUAAAAUCGGCAGCUACAAGGUUGCAAUGCUGUAGCUUGUACGAUCUUUUCAAAACCAUUGUCCAAGCUGGGAUGCAUGAUAUCCGUUAAUAUAUACAGUGUACUAAAGCAAACAAGCACCAUUCCUCUAAAUCUCUAAUGCCAAGCACGGCCCAACAGUCGUUCAGGGCUCUGAUAAUGAGAGACAUAGGAUUUAGGUGCGCGCGCCACCUUCACAAUAAUUUCACCUGUGAAUUUCUCCCACAGCCACAGGCCACCAUUUAAAAUCGCACGCAUAUAAAGGCGAAACCCAAAAAACUCGCCGCCUGGCUUCCACCAGCAACAAAAGAUCAACAAAGAACAGUCAUGCAUGCAGGUCAAAAAAGAGUUCGUCUAACGAACAAAACAUAUCUGGCAAUGAGAUAGCUUCUAGCCUACCACGUGUUGAUCCAGUAAAUAAAUCAUGAUCAUAAAAAUUCACUUUAUUUUCCAUCGGAACCAUAGAAAAAAUAUUCCGUCAAAUGUAACAACUCAAAUAAUUGUUUUACAUCCCCCACUUUAUUGUGUAAUUCAUGUAAAUGACUGAGAAAAGUAAAGAGGAGCAGUGUGACAGACUCCCACACUGAAGCUUGGGACCACUAAUGGCACUUUUCAAAAGAGUAUUUGAUCUACUGCUCAACUUACUACCACAAAAUAUGGAUUUCGCUGGCAUCGUCAUAAGAACUAGGUUGAAAAGCUCCAGAUGAUUUGAAGUCGAGUGUAGAGGGAUAGAUAAUAUACAAAAAACAAAAAUGUAACACUACUUAAUGUAAUGGGUUAUCAUCAAGAUUCUUCGACCUCCAGGUAUUGGGAAUGCGAGGCUGCUAGGAGAGCAGCUCCAAUGCCUGAGCCAUCAUUAGACUGCUCAACGACAAUGUUGUCAGAAACUUCUUCUCCCAGUAACUCCUUGAGAGUGCUUUCCAUGCAGGUACUAAAUUUAGAGUAGUGCUCAUACAACCCACCAUCCAUUGCUAUCACAGACUUCUGCUUUUCACCAUCCUUUACAGUGUCUCUACCCAAUUUCUUGAUGAUGCCUACAAUCCCAGCAGCAGAUAGGCGGGCACCACGAGUGGCAACAAUGUCACAUAGUUCAACAAUAGCUUUCCUCAUUUUCAGCGAGGUAUGAGGUAUCUAGGGGACAAAAGGAAGCAAAAAUGAAAUGUGCCCUUUGGAUUACAUAACAAAACAACGAAAUAUUUUUGCAGUCGGAGAAGAGCAAAGAUGGCAAUUGAAAAUGGAAAACAUCAUGACUCUCCUAUAACCUGGUUCACACCAAGCCAAAUGUGGCAGGUUUCCAAGAACCACCAAAUUAUCUUGACAGAAGAUGAAGCAGAGGUGGUACACAUACAGUCAUCAACACAAACCUAACCUAACUAGUUAUUGAUAUUAAUUUCCUCUUAUAUAUAAUGCAUCGCACAGAUUGAGUCAGCCUGUUUUCUUAGGUUCAAUCUCUUUCACCCAACUUCACCUUUACCUUUUCCUUUUCAUUUUUUACAUUUCUUACAGAGUAACCAAAAAGAAAUUUAUUUUGAACGAGUUAUGAAAAUGAGGUAAUUUGGAAGUUAAUUGCGAGAGUUAUAACUGAACUUUAGAACCACUAUUCACCUAUUGUGUGUAAACUACUAUUUUUCUUAUUUUAUUAUGCAAGUUUUUGGGAUAAAUAGUGUCACCUUAAGCAGAUAUCAUUUUUAAUUUUUGAAAUAAAAUGGUAUCAAAAAGAAAGAUAUGCAUCAAAGUGAGGUGGCGUAGCGGUCCUUGUUUUGCAUGGAGAAGGAAAAUGAAUGUAUGGCAAUGAAAUUUUCCAAAACAUGAGACGAUUGGAUGGGGACAAACAAAAUCUCCACAACAUCACUUCAUUAUCAUACCAACUUGAAUACUUCAAGCAAGUUAAGAGGAAGUUUUGAUCUCUAUGCUGAAUUACAAUUAAUCUCUUUUUCUCAUUAAGAAAGCGUAUCAAGAUGUAAGAGGUAAAUAGAAUGAUACAAAAGGCAAACACAAUAGGCAAAGCAUAAUACCUCUAAAAUAUCUUUUAGUUUGCUUCCAACAACUCUCAGAUCUGAAGAUUCAUCAUGGUGCAUUGCAGACAUGUGAGGCGUCCUGCAUAUUAACAGCAGUGCAAGUUUGUAUUAGUUACAACAUCAACAGCAUUGGGUUGAUCAAGAUGCAAUGACGAGCCAUCUCAACUCAAAACAGGAAAAGGACCAAAAACUUCGAACUCAAUACAUGGCAGACAGCUCACAAACAAAAAUAUAUGGCAGACCUUAAGAUGAAUGGAAUCUUCAGUUUUUGUGGAACAAUAUCACCAAAAAAGGCAGCCUCUUCAGCCAUUUUCAGUAGAACUCUGCGUACAAUUUCUCCCAAAUACAUACCAGAAAUAAUCUUUUCAAAAAUCUGCAAACAAUAAUGACAAAGCUCUUAUAAGUACAUUAAACCACCUCUAUAAGCAGCAAUGAGUCAAAACAAAUAAGGAAUAUAGCAUCACCUGUUCGCCAGGAUUCAAAGACUCAACAUCCAAGUCUUGAUCAUAUUCUGUUAGUGGAAGGUGCGAAGACCGGAAAUUACCCCAUUCCAUGUUGAUAACCUAUAAUAAGAAACAGUUCGGGUAUCAGUUUAUGCUUAUUAAAUUAUAAGCAUUCCUGUCAUAAGACAAAGUAAAAAAGAGGAGAAAUUGUAUCUGAAAUGCCAACCAUUUCUCCAGAUUUGGGUAGAAGACCAUGCCACUUAGGAAUUGCUUGUGCUCGCUCUACAUAUGCUGCAUUUGUUCCAGUACCCAAUAUUACAGCAGCAAUUACAUCUGGGUUGUGGUAUCGACCUCCAGCUAAUGUUCCAAUUGUAUCAUUGACCUACAUCAGCUCAGAGAGUUGAAGAAUCUGUUUAGUUAUGUAGACAUGUGACUGCAUUACGCAUUAAGCACCCAUUCCAUCAGCACUGGACUGUAAAUCACAUUCUUUGUCAUUUAAUAGAAAACACCCAAACAGAGAACCCAGGGACAGCAACCAAAUUACUUACCAAAGCUGACACGCGCAUGUCAAGUCCAAUUCUUUCCAUGGCUUUGGUUAAUUCUCCCACCACAUCUUCUCCAACCUAAGGACCAGGAAUGAAGUUAGCAACAAGGUGAAAAAGGAUUGGCAGAAUAAGAAGGUACAGUUAUUGACUGAAGCUAUUGCAAUCUUGAGUCUAAGUGCUGGUUACAGUAUUUUGCUUUAACAUUUUCCAGAGCAGAAAUAUCAGGGAUAUACCCUCACAAGGCUAUAUUUAGAGAACUGUCUGCUUUUAGAAGUAAAUGUAGAGCACAUGUGGCAGAGUUAUAACUCUGAGUAAGUAAGAUACAAGUGGUUAAUUUGAGCUUUCCACACAGUAGAGAUAUAUGCUCGCUAACUAAAUUAUGCAGACUACACGUGAGCAAUAAGAACUAGAAAGAAAAUGAACGCUUUGAUAGAAAAUUCCUUUGCUCCUGAAGCUUGGUUGACAUGGUUGGCAUGUGUUCCCACAGAAUUUAAGCAGGAACAUACCUUACUGCUAAGAUUUCACAGAUCAAUGGAAACUAAUAAUAAAUUCAGAGUGAUAUCCAGAACAUCAGAAAACAAGCACUAACAAAAUUAGUAAAUUUCAGAUGCUUACGAUCGGUUUCUCUAUUUAAGUGAUCAAAACCAUCAGAAAUCAAGUACUACCAGUAUGUCUGUGUUCAACUGCCAGCUGCAUGUGUGUCUCACAAUAAAAAGACUAACUAUUAUAUGCAUUGUUACAUAGAAUGGCUCCAAAAUAUUAUUAAUGCAAUUUUUAACACUGCAUAUGACCUGUACCCCUUAGGGAAUGCUUUAAUAAUUUUGUCACUGUUCACUGAUGAAAAGGAAUAUAUGUAACGCAAAGAAGUGGAGUAGGUAAAGGGAAAAACGUUGACAUUUUUAGAUGGUAAAACAAUUUCUUGUAAGUUUUUUAUUCUCAUAACAGAUAUGCACCAAGAUAAAAACCAAUAUAACUGUAAUUGAAAAAACUGAUUGUAAUGCAAUGAAAACAGAUGGCCAAAGGAGGAGGGGGGAGGGAGGCAAGUGAGGGUAAUUAGGAUUCACCACAUCAUCUAUGGAGAAUCCUUUUGUCCAUUUUAUAAGAUUUCCAGAUGCUAUUGAUGUUUGCCUAACUGGAAAUGAGAAGGUAAAACCGAGCUCCCUUUGUCUCCCAGGUGAACAAUGCAGACCUUCACUUUCUGUGGCAACAAAAUUGGCAAGCGCUGUAGCAAUGAAACCAAAUAGUGCCUGAAAUCACCACCGUAUACAAUAUAUUCAGAUCACUAACUAUUCUAAGCAAGUUUAAGUUUGAUAGACUAGUUUGAAAUGAUGCUCACAUCUGAAGAUCCAGUCAUCAAGUGUGGAGGAAUUGAAACUUCCUCAAACUCUUGUUUGACAACACCUCCAUCCCUCCCACCGAGCAGUACCCGUAUAACUCGAAAAUUUGUUCCGCCAAGGUCCAAUGCAUAGAACAACCCAUUCUCUUCUCUGAAAAAUUAAGCACAGAAGUAGCUAACCAUUCAGUGGUAAUUACAUUUAGUUAAUAUAAAAUGUCUUGACAAAUGAAAUUGCGUUCUCUCAGGAACAAAUUCUUCACAGAAAAGCAACAUCUUUCGUGUUCCUGUAUGAACAUCAAAGCUUCUUUUGUCUUCUGUCACUCAUUAAUUCUUCAUUUUUUUUUUCUAUAAAUUUUUCAUUUUUCAGUACUUAAAAAACCUUAUCCACAAUUUUAAAAGGGCUAUCUGCAGCUAAAAGGAGUUCAUCAACCAAACAAUCCUAUGGUUGAACGAUUAAAAGGAAUACCACAUCCCAGAAAUUUCUGUACAUUCUUCCAAGUUGAUCAUUACUAAGUUGACCAGCAUAGAAUUUUAUUUAUGUGAAAAUUUAACCUACAACAUGAUAAUCUCAAAUAACUCCAUCUUAAGUUUAUUUGAUUAUAAAACAUGGAUGUUCAUAAUAAGAUAUUUAUGUAGACCACAAAGCCAGCCUUUAUCAGCAGUACAGUACCACCAACUGAUCAUAAAGAAUCCACGCUCCAUAAGAAACACAUCAAAUCAGCAGCCAAAAAAGAAACCUUGCAGAAUCUAUCAACUCAAUACAAACUAAGUACUGUUUGCUUAUCAGUUUAAAAAAUGAAAUGACCACCCACUUCAAAAACUCCAAAGUUCAUCAAAUCAGAUAUUGUGAUAAGAUACUAAUACAACAUAAGAGAACUCACUGCCCGGGAGAUUUCCGAACCACAGCUAUAUGAAAAGCAAAGAUGAGAAUUGAGAUAUAAGCUGUAAAAAGCAAAAUGUAGCAGCAAAGCUUCGAACAGUAAGCUAUAUUCCAAGUUCCAUUCAACGGGAAAAAAACAGAGGGAGAAGAAGAAAGCAAACCAUUGAUGAAAGAAAAAGAAAGCAUUUAUUGAUUGAAUGAAAAAGAGGGAACUACAAAAGAGACAACGUUAGGUAACUUAAAAGCAAAGGCUAAAAAUUUUUACAAAUCCUACCCGAAGCCAGCGAAACAUGUCAAGCUUAAUUGAAGAAAGGUAGAAUUCAAGAUUAGUAAAGAAUACGCCUUUCACUAAUAAAAAGUUAAUUCUUGAACUAUCUACAUCAAAGAAAACCCAUCUCCACUAAAUUUCAAUGGACACAAAAGAGUUUAAAGAUUCUUGUUUAUACACUCAAGUUCACAACUGUUAAUCAAACUCACCCUUAAACAAUCUUAUUUAUGAACUCCUACUUCAUUCCCUAAAAACACAUCAAAACGAAAUUCGUUUUUCAUGUCCAAAGCAGAACUCUUUUACCAACACAACAAUCAUCAAAACAUUAAUAACUAAUAAAAUUACAAAUAAAAUCAGGAUAUUAGAGAAAAGAUUGAAAAUUCAGUAGCUUUUUUUCAGGACAAAAAACAAAUCCCCACGAUUAAUCAACAAUUAAAAAAAAUUCCAUUACUUCAGAAAUCUAUUUAUAAAUAUCCCUCUAGAAAAUUAAAUACUACACAAGUAAACUUAAAUGGGAAAUGAAAACGAAAAUAAAAGUAAUUAUGUUUUACUUUAGUAAGAUUAAUAGUUGAUUACCCGGAGGGAAGAUUAUCUACAUAGCUGAUUAACAUCUUGAGCUUACUACCACCCUCAGAUGCAAGGCCGGCAUGCAUCUCAACGGUCAUAGCAUCAGCCACCUGUCUUAACUUCCCAAUAGGGGUCCCACAAUUUUCCUCAAACUCUCUUAGUAUCGCCAUAGCCCUGGCCCACCUCCCUGAACAUCUCAUCCUGUGCCUCACCACCAACGCCGCCGCCGCACACACUGUCGCCGCGCAAACAACCGCCGCUCCUACUGCCACCUUCCCCAUCACAGUAGUAGUAACAACAAAAACAACAACAACAACAAUAGCGACAACAACGGUCCCUAAAACUGUUGGAUUUGGAGUUGAAGGAAAUGAAUCAGCUAUUUAUAAUAUAAAAGGAUUCAUAGAUAAGGAUUUAUAGCGGAAAAUUUGAAGCAAAAUUAUCGGUUGUCAAAGCUGGAUUUGUCUCGGAAAAUAAGGUAAGACUGCUAGAAAAGAAAAGUGUUUCAUCUAAACAUAGAUGAGGGUUUACUUUUGUAAUUUUAUUUUCGGUUUAAUGUUUUUAUUUGGUCCUCCAACUGUUUAUUUUCUUAUCCUUCAUCCUUUUACUAUAUUUUCUACUAUAAUACCCCGUAUGUUUAUAAUCAUUCAAAUUGUUUAUAUACAAUCCAUUAGCCGAUAUUUUUUUAGUUUAUUUUAUUUUUUAUUUAAUAUUAUUAUAUUUUUUUAAAAUAUUUUUUCAAUAUUUAAAUAAAAAUAGUUUUUCUAGUUUGUUUUUCUUAUUUAGUAUUAUUAGAGUUUUCUAGUUUUUUCUAUAUAAAAUGUUGUAAUAGCCUUUUGACAAGUUGAGACUUGAAUGAAUAAAAAUUAAAUAUUUUGAGAGUCUCCUAAGUCUUAAUACUUAUGAUAUUUUUUUAUCUUUGAUGAUUUUAACUUAUAACAAACAUCUUAUCUUUUUUUCUUAUCUGCAUCAAUUAGUAUUAGAGCUUAAUGAUUCUUAAUAGUUAUUUUGCUUUGUUGCAUGUUGCAAAACAAUCAUGGUUGGAAGAUGUUGCAAAACAAGCGUGUAUAGGAGGGGAUGAGAAGGUUCGCUCUCAGGAAAAAGACAUUCAAAAACUAGUGUGUUGUUUUUGUCUGCAUCAGUUGAUGUUAUUUGAAACCUUGAUGGUGGGACCUAUAAUAAGAUAGCCCACACAAAGGUGUGGUGUUAGGGGUCCAUGAUGUGGAAGUCCACACAAAAGUGUUGUGUUAGGGAUCCACGAUAAGAUGACCCACAUAAAGGUGUUAUGUUAGGGAUUCAUGGUGGGGAAGUCCUCACAAAUGUGUUAUGUUAGGAACCUAAAUAAGGUAACCCAUAUAUAAAAUGAUUUUUUGAUGGAGAACAAUUUCUAACUGAAGAUUGCACUCGAGAACAAGUUCAUUUCAACCUGAGAAGACUAAUACAUAAACUUUUUUUAGGAUAAUAUAUAUUUUCCUUUGUUUCUAUUUAAAGAUAAUAUUUUUUCUAAUUAAUUUUUUUCUUAUUCAGUAUUACUAAGGUUUUCUAGUUUUUUAUAUAUAAAAGGUUGUGGUAGCCAUUUGGUAAGUGGAAACUUGGAUAGAUAAAAAUUGAAUAUUUAGGAGUCUUCUUCAUAGUCAUGGUGUUUUUGGUCUUUGAGAGUUUUGACUUGUAACAAACUUCGUUUCCUUUACUAUGUUUGAAUCGGUUGGUAUUAGAGCUCAAUGAUUACUAGUUUUGAUUAGAGGACAUAGAGGAUGUGUAUCAGAGCUCACUGGUCCCAAGUAUAUAAUGAUGAUUCAAACCAUAUAUUAGGAUCUUUUAACAAAUUUUGAAUGAAAAGUUUUUAACUUGGCCUUUUAACAACCUUUCAAUUUUUAUAUCUUCUUUGUGAGUGAUUUAAUUUAUAUAUUUAGGGUGGUGAGUUAUUCGUGUUCGUUUCAAUUUGGUACUUUAAAGUGGUGACCGAAAAUUAUCAUUUAUGUGAUUGAUCUGUCACUUUACAAUUUUCAUAUCAUCCCGAUAUCAAGUUAGUAUCAAAGCUUUAGAUUUAUAACCAUGGUUGUUCGUGGACAUCGUGUGUAAGAAUUCAAGAGGAACAUUCGUAGUUUUGAAAUUGAUAAAAUAAAAAGGCAACUUCAGCAACUCCAAGAGCAUUUUGACUGAUUUAAUAAUUGAGACAAUAAUGGUGAGGAUAUUAAUCCUUUCCUUCACAAACCAUAUUGAGCAUAAUUUUAGUGAUGGUUCUUCUUCUAAGCAUAAAAAAAGAAGUAAUAGAAUUCCAUAUUGAGAAUCUGAUGUAAAGAUAUUCCUGAAAAUGAUUAUUCAAUGUAGCUUUUUGAUUGAUAUAUAUAAGUGAAAUUUCAACAACAUGAAAAUGAUGAUGAAACUAAAAAUCUUGAUGAUUCUAGAUCUUUUAUGGAUUGGAAUCAACCAUCAAAAUUCGAUGAGGAUAAGAAAGAUGAUAUCGAAGGAAAAUAUCUCGAUACGAAAAUCUAAGUCUAUGAUGAACCUAAGUAUGCCAAUGAAGUUCUUGUUACAUUAAUUGAGAAGCAUGUUGAGGAGGUGGUUCUAAAAUGAGUUUUGAUAAAGAAAAUUAUGAAGGAUGUGCUUCAUAUGUGAUUAAAAAAAUUUAUGAAAUUAAUGGGGUCGAAGUUGAUGUUCUUGGACAAAAAAAAAGUGAAUUUGUCAAUGUUUUUGACAACGUUCUAGAAACAAUAUUCAUUAGUUUUGAACAUAAUAAAAUUGAUAAAGAUGGGGGAUUUGAGUUGUUCUUUUAUGAUAAUUUAAGGAACAUUUAUGAUAUAGAAAGUAAUUUAACUAAUGUUAAAGGACUCUAGUUCAAAGUUUUCAUAAAGGAUAAUGGAAGUGUUUUGAUUGGACAUCCACAAGAUCGAGAAAAAAGUUAUCUGAACUUGAGGACGAGUUUUUUCUCAAUCAAAAGGACUUAAUACAGGAGUGUCCUUAAAUGGUCUUACUAAUGUUAAACUACUUAAGUUUGGAAUGACAAUACAAAAAAUAAAGUUCUUGAUGAUGUUUAUUGUUCACCAAUGUGCCAACUUUGAGCCCGAAUUUGUAUAUCUUCAUUGCAUGAGAAAAUAAACUUAUCCUAUUUGGUUUUUAAUUUCAGAAUAUGAUCUUUUUAAAUUGUUCAACCAUGCAUGCAAUGGAGUUUUCUAUAAUACGUUAUGUCGGUUUUAAUUUAUAAUCUUUCUAAGUGUUUAUUUGUGUUUUUAAGAAGUCAAAAACAUGUGUUAGUUAAUGAUUGUCUAGUUUUCUAUCCAAGUCAUUUGUUUGGGUCUUAAUUACAUUGUUUUAGUGUUUUUCUAGACUUGAAGGGUAUUUCAAAGUAUAUAAUGAUGAUUCAAACUAUGUAUUGGGAUCUUUUGAAAAAAAUUAAAUGAAAAAUCUUUGACUUGAUCUUUUAGCAACCUAUCUUGUUCUAUAUCUCAUUUAUGAGUGGUUGACUUAUUCCUUAACUUUAUAUCUCUAAAGUGGUGAUUUAAUUAUAUCUUUAGGGUGGUGAGUUAUUCACGUCUGUAUCUCUCCAGUUUUGUAUCAUAGAGUAGUGAGCAAAAAUUAUAAUUUGUGCAAGUGAUAUGUUACUUUAUGAUUUUUAUACCUUCUCGGUAUCAGGAACUCAUGAUCGAAUGGACCACACAUAAAAGGAUGUUCAUGGUAAAUGAUGGUUUUUUACUAAAGUCUGAACACGAGGAAGAGUUCCUUCCACGGAAAAUUGAUGUAGGAGUUUUUUAGAAAAUUGAUGUAGGAGUUUUUUUUAGGAAAAUAAAUAUUUUUCUUAGUUAAUUUUUUUUUAUUUUUUUCAUAUUCAAUAUUAUUACCCUUUUUAAAAAAAAUCAAUUUAAAGAAAACAAUUUUCCUAGUUUAUUUUUAUUAUUUAGUAUUACUAGGGUUUUCUAAUUUUUCUUUGUUUAAAGGAUUAUACUAGUAUUUUGGCAAGUUAAGACAUAAAUAAAUAAAAAUUAAGUAUUUUAAGAAUCUAUCUAUACUUAUAGUAUUUUUAGUUUUUAAUGGUUUUAAAUUGUAACAAACCUCUUAUCUUUCACUCUCAUCCAUAUUUAAUAUAACAUAGAAAUUCACUCAUUUCCUUUUAAGUAGUAAUUAGCCAAAUUUCUAUGCUUUUCUUUUUUUAGAGACACCUUUAGCUUAGAAUUAUUAUAGUUAUGAUUCUGAUUUUUGUCUAUAAUUAUGGUUAUGUUUUGAUAAUUAUGUAGUUGAGAAAAAUUGUAUCGAAAUUAAUAAAUAAAAAAACUCAUAUAUAUUCUUAUAUAUAUUUGGCUAUGAGAUAUAAGUAAAUUGCACGCCCAAUUUUAUGAUAUAAUGCAGGUUUAUAGCAUUUGGGAGUUUUUUUUUUUAAUUUAGCAAAAUACCCAUUAUAUGAUUUUAUGUAGACUGCAUAUUAAUGGAAAAAUCCAACAUUUUCAUUAACAAAUAUCGACGAUGACAAUGAAUUGAAAUACUAAGGGGACUAAAUUGACAUAAGUUCAAGAUAUGGGGAUCAAAUAUCACUAUUGAUGUAUUUUUGGGAUUUUAUUAACUCUUUGGUACUUCUACCCGAGUGCGCUGCGGUCUGAAACGAGAAGAUAUUUACGAGUUUGAGGUGGGGAGAUGAUAGAUAAUGUUUUGUUAGAAAAGUGGACAAUAUGGUUUGUGUCUUCCUUUCAUGAUGCUUUUUGUACUUUUCGUUUAAGAAUGCCAGGUGUUUUUUUUUUUAUCUUAUUAGCACGUGCAAAGCUGGAAUCUUACACGAAAAUUAAAAAAUAAAAAAUUCAAUGAUAUUAAUCCUUCAAUUUUUUUAAAAUAUUUUUUAUUUAAAAAUAAUAUUUUUUUAUUUUUUAAAAUUUAUUUUUAAUAUCAGUAUAUUAAAAUAAUUUAAAAAUAUAUUAAAAAAAUUAACUUUUUAAAAAUAUUUUUAAAACGUAGAAAUUUUAUAUUUGUAUUUUAAAUUAUUUAAAAAAUAAAUUUGAUCUUAUGAAUAAAACAAAAAUUUUCUAACAUGAUCUUGAACGGAGACAGAAUAUUUUAUUUGUUAUGAUUGAAAUUUUAUCCGAUUGAGAUCCAUGGUUUUACUCGGAUAAUGUGGGCGGGUGUAAUCUUUAACUUGUCCAAAACGUUGACCGGAAAACUCUGUCGAAGAUGAGUCUUACAGCUAAUUUUGUCCAAAAUUGACCAUAAUCUGACUCAGCAACCAGUCAUCAUUUUGAUUUUUUAAGCUGACUCCAAGUUGGGGAAUCCAAUCCAAAUACUUAUUCUCUAUAAAUUCCCAUUAAUAAACCUAUUUACUAUUUCAUAAUCUGACUAUUAUUUACUAUUUCAUAAUAAUAAUAACACUAAUAAUAAUAAUAAUAAUGUUGAAAAAUAAUAUUUAGUUUUUUUUUUCUGAGUAUUGAAAUAGUGCAAUUGGAUUAUUAGUUAUAUAUAAUUAGUAAAUCAUUUAGUGCUUUAAAAAUAUUAAUUUUUAAUUUUUCAAUAUAGAAUUGAGACUUGUUGUUUUAUGUUGGACUGCUCAUAUUAUUAUUAUUAUUAUUGUUACUACUAUAUAUAAAUGAUGGAUAUUUUAUGUGUUUUAACAAUAAUUUCAUAUAAAAAAUUGAUUAGUUGUUUUUGUUAUAUUUUUCUAAUGUUAAUGUUUUCGUUGAUGUAUUAUUAUUAAAAUUUGUUAAUUUAUUUGUUUACUUGAGUUUCUUUAAAAUUAAAAUUGAUUGUUGGUGGUUAAUUGAAUGGAUAACAAAUAAUUAAUUAUUUUAAUUUUGUUUAUUGAUUUUUAUCUUGAUUAUGGUCAUGGUUAACCAUUGCCAUCCUUAAAUGAGAUGAUGUGUAUCCUUUUUUGUUCUAGAAGGGAACCCAAGAAGAGAGAGGUCAAUCAGGUAAUUUCUCAAAAAGGAUGAAUAAUACCCAUAAUGUGUGUGAGCAGUCCAGACCACGUGAAUAAGCUUUGUCGCAAAGGAGAUGUCAGUUUUGUAGUAAUUAGAAACUCUAAUUGUUUUUUUAGAGAUUCUCUAGGUUGAUUAUGUUAAAUAAAAAAUUAAAAUUAUUUUAAAAUAGCUCAUUUAAAACAAGGUGUUUCAUAUCUAUUUUUAAUGAUAAAAAUAUUUAUUAUAUUUACAUGCUAAAAAAACAUACCUAAAGUAGUUUGUGUAUUUAUUAAAGAUAAAAAUAAUUAAGAGAACCUAAAACAAUAAUUUGAAACUUGAGCCCUGUGAUUUGGCACAAUCUGUACUUAAGGGAAUGAUAAUUGUUAAAUAAGUUUCGGCCCAUCUCUCUUAAUUAUGUUUGAAAUGGGCUCGCCUACUUUACUCUUAAUAAGCCUAUCGUGAGAUAUAGUGCGUGUUUUGCUUGGGAUUUGGGGUGCCUUCGUUGCCUCUUCUCUUCUGCACCGGCAGUGAGUUUCACCGUCGGUUAAAAACAAGUGUUAUUGUUUUUGAGGUAGUUUUUAUUGUUAUAUUUUGAAAAGAAGUAAGUUUUAAAAAAAUAUGAUUAGUUAUAAUUAGUUGGAUUUAAAUAUGUUUUUGGUAAAAAUUAUGGUUGAAGUUUAUGUAUAGUAAAAUACAUGUAUAAAAUGUUUGGUGAAAGUGUGUUUGCAGUUGUUUUUUAAAGUAUUUUUUACUUGGAAAUGCAUCAAAAUAAUAUUUUUUUUAAUUUUUAAAAAAUUAUUUUUUUAUUAGCGCAUCAAAAUGCUCUGAAAACACAAAAAAUAUAUCAAUUUGAAGUAAAAAAUAAAUAAAAAAUUUUCAAUUUUUUUCAAAUGUGUUUUUGAAACACAAAAACAAUCGGGGUUUUACAAAAUUCAAUUAAAAAAAAUAUGUAAAAACUACUUCACAAAAAUUACAUUUCAAACUCAAUUUUUUAAUAAAUCUCACAAUAUAUAAUAUAAUUUAAUUUAUUAUUAAAUAUUUUACUGCGUUUAUUUCACUGCAAAUAUAAAACCCGGUGAAAACAAACGCAACAAAGAGAGAUCAACGCAUAUGAAAGUUACUUUCUUUUCCUAUUCAUUUUCUUUUUCUUCAUCAUUGAAAUAAGGCCUACGUACUACUUUUGAUUUUGUGUUGUUGUGUUCGUCGGUGGCUGGUUGUUCGACAUGAGGAGAGGGACUAUUCGAUGGCUGGGAAAGGCAGGUGGUCCAACGGAGGAGGGCUGUCCUGAGGAGAGGGACUUUUCGAUGGCUGGAAAAUGGAUUAAAAUUAUUAGGCAAGAAACUUAAAUUAAUUAUUGAUCAACAUAGCAUGAAAUUUAUCACAAUUAUAACUAAAUUCAGCAUGAAAUUAAGAGGUAACAAAUAAAAAUUAAAUAGGUUCAAUCGAGAAGUAAUUAACUCAACAAAAUAUAUUCUUGAAAGGAAAUUGUCAUUGAAUUAAUUAGCUUCAUUUUAAAAUAAAAAUGUUAUUGGAUUAAUGAACUUUUUCUUGAAAUAAAAAUAUAAUUGGAUUGAAAUAAAAAUGUCAUUGAGUCAAUAAAAUUUAUUUAUUUUUUAAUAUUAUUGGAUUAACGCGCUUCUUUUAUAAUAAAAGUACCACUUAAAAGGAAAUUGCUAUCAAAUAAAUGAUCUUUACUUAAAUUAAAAUAUUAUUUAAAAGAAAAUUGACAUUGAAUUGAUGAGUUUCACCUUGAAAUAAAAGUAUCAUUUGAAAGAAGAUUAUUAUCGGAUUGAUGGGCUUUUCUUGAAUUAAAAUACUUUUGAAAGAAGAUUAUUAUCGGAUUGAUGGGCUUUUCUUGAAUUAAAAUACUUCACUUUAAAAUAAAAAUACUUUUUGAAAGGAAAUUUCCAUCGGAAUAAAGGUUUUCACCUUGAAAUAAAAAUAUCAUCUAAAAAAAGUUAUCAUCAAAAUUAAAAUGCUUUUGAAAGAAAUUUGUCAUUGGAUUUUUGGACCUCACUUUGAAAUAAAAAUGCUUUUUGAAAGGAGAUCUCAAUCCAACCAAGAGGUUUUACUUGAAUUAAAAUGUUAUUUAAAAGAAAAUUAUUAUGGGAUUAAAGGGCUACACUUUGAAAUAAAAUACAAUCUUAAUAAAAAAUUAUUAUCAGACUAAUGGACUUUAUUUUGAAAUAAAAGUUGUCAUUGGAUGAAUGGGCUUCUUGGGAAAAAAAAAAUUAUCAUCGAAUUGAUAGACUUGAAAAAUAAUAUCAAGAUUGAAGAUUCUUUUGAAAAUAAAGUGUCAUUGAGUUAAUUUGAUUGAAAAAUGCUCUCAUAAUUAACAGGUUUUGUUUGAAAAAAAAAAUGUCAUUAAAUUAAUAGGUGUUAAAGAAAAAUGCUAUGGUGAAUGAUAGGCAUGAAAAUCAUCUAAUUGUGAGGUGACCAACCUUAACUUGUUGAAGCAACGUAAACAAGGAACUUCAUUAAUCAAUGGAAGGUUAAAAAUUUUAUAUUUUAAAAGUCCAAUCUUUUUUUUUGAUGUGAUUUGUAUCUUUGAAUACUUUUCAACUUUAGAAGUGUUAAGAACCAAGCAUUGUUUUACUUGAGUUGUUUAAGUGAUCCCAAUACUUUCAAUGGUUAUUAUGAGUUCCUUCUAUGUUCUUCACUUUUGAUCACUAGAUAAGCACGGUUUAUCCAUCGUAUUAUCUUGGCCUACAUUAAUCUUACUUGUCAUUUCUUUCAAGUGUAGGUUGAGAGUAUAUGUUCAUUACUUUCUAUUUUUCAUCAUCCUCGUGAAGAAGUUAUAACAUCUACUACUUUUAGCAUAUGAUGGAGUUCUUGAAAUCACUAUUUAGCUAUUGUAUUCCUUAAAAAUAAAUUACCUCAAUUGAUCUAACUAUGUUCAUCUUUUUUAAUUGCUAUUUAUAAGGAACAAAUGUACCAUCAUCAUUAUUUUACUUUGCAAAUUUAGUCAAUUUAAGAAUUCAUUAUAAAACAUUUUUAAACUUUCUUGUUUUAGGACCAACCCAUAAAUUUUAAUAAUUGUGUUCUUAUAGGUCUAAUUAGUGAAGAAAAAAAAAGCUAGGGGUUGUUGGGUCUAAAAGGCCACACCCAUAUACUUAGCCUAAAAGGUAAAAGCCCGUACACAUCUAUGUCUAAAAGACUAGUUCUGCAUCCCUUGUUUUUUUUUUAAGGUAUAAAUAUUUUUUAAUUUCACUAAUAUCAAAAUUAGAAACAUAAAAUUAGGUUUUUAUUCAAUAUUCAAUAUUUAUUUUUAAAAAAUAAAAACCAUGCACUAAAAAAAUUAUAUAAUUUAGUUAGACCUUUUUUCCCUAUUGUUACUUAAGCCAAUCCAUCAUUCUUAUGGAAGAGAAAUCACAUAAAAUUUGAGAAUCAUUUUAUCUAAAGGAGUUUUUAUUUAAAUAAAAUUUAUUUAUAUCAUCCGAAUAAAAUGAAUAAAUGAUGCAAGUAUUUGUUUUUUAAUUGAGUGAACAACACAACACAUUAUUCACUUGGAUACAUAACAUGUCAUUCAAUAUUGUUUUUUUUAGUCACCUCUGCUGAUUGAAAAAUUAGGGUUUGUGUUCGAGAGCCUAAAAAUUCAAUUUUUAACUUGUUUUAACUAGAAAUUUUUUAAAAAAUAUCGUAUAACCUAAAUAAAAACUCAUUUCUAAUAUUAAAACACUAUUAAUUACUUUAAAAACUGAAGAUCCAAUAACACUACCUCCAUUAAACUCUCCUAUUAAAAAUGAAUCUAUUAACACCAAAAUCAUUUUUUUUUGUUAACACCAAAAUCAUUUUUUUUGUUAGAAUGUGUCGAGCAAAUCUUUUCUGUCUCUUCUUUCAUUUUCCGAGCACUAUUUCUCCUCUCUCAAUGCCUAUAAAUUAAAACAUAAUAAAAAUAAAGUUUAGAACUGAAAUAUAAAAUUCUAAAACAACAAGAACCACAUAAUACAAAAAGAAAAAAAAUAAGGGACCAAAAUGAAUUUUGUCACACCUUUUGAAUAGUACAACUAGAAAAAUGAAUUUCUAUGUUAAUUUUGGUCUUUAUUGUUUUAAUUUUUAUUUUAAACAACAACCUAAAAUUCUAUUUUGUAAAAUCAAUCAUUCAUCUAACAUCAAAAUGUUUUAUGAUAUUUUGCAGACAUAAGAGACAAGAGCAUGUAAAUCAAAAUAAAUAAAAAACAAAACAUGACAACUUAACUUAUGAGAAUCAAAUUGAAAAAAAAAAGUUUAAUAACCAAAAAUAAUAGAGCUAAACAUUUGAUUUAAUCACUCUUGAUUUUGAUCCUUAAAAUUUUGAACAAUAAAAUAUGAGAUAAUAAAUAAUGAUGUUUGCUUAAUUAAGAAUCCACAUCCUUUAGUGUUUUAUAUAAUUAUUAUAAUUCUACUCAACUCAUAAACCAAAUCUUAAACCAAGUUAAAUAAGAUAAUCGAGUUUUAUAACAACAUAUAAUUUUAGUAUAUGAAUAUGUUUGUUUUUAUGAUCAAAAUUAUGGUUAGGUAUAUUUUAAAAAUAUGUUUGGUAUGAAAUAAUAUUAAAUUAAUAAAUUUAAUGUCCUAAUAGUAAAAUUAAAAAAUAUAAAAAAAUUUAUUUUAAUAUAUAUAUUUUUUUAAAAAACAAUACUUUAAAAAUUCACCUAACACCUUAAUUUUGAAUUCUGAAAACACUUUCUUCAAGACGAAACGAAACACCACCGCGUUCACAGUUUUAACAUUGAGCCCAAAAAAAACCGAAGAGAUCAUCAGCAAAGAAAUAGAAGAAGAAGUUUGUAAACUAGUUGGUGCAGAAAUCACCGUUGAAUUAAGGUAUGAUGAAUGAACGUAAUUUAUUCUGUCUUCUCCUCAUCCUUUUUCUUCUUUAACCAAAUUUGGAUAGAGAUUUGAGAGAAAUAAUUAUGAAAUCUGGAGGGCAAAGAUUUUGUUUUACCCUUUUGCUUUCUUUCAUUUUUUUUCUGUCUUUCAUUUUGCCUUUCUUUUCUUAGUUUAAUUUUCUCAAUUGCAAUUUAAUUUUAUAGCUAGAGCAUUCUGACCAUUGCGUAUUUGACACAUUAUCCAACUGGGCUCCACGAUCCUAAGAACGAAUUUGAUUUUUUUUUCUUAUAUAUAUAUAUUUAUGUUGUGUGUGUGGGUGGGUCUGGGUGGCAGACAUGGCGCUGAAAUUGGUUAGCAGGAAGCUGGGGAGCAAAUUCUUGCCCAUGCUGUCUUCCACUUCUCCACUGCAUUCACAUGCCACUAGCUUUGGUAGGUUCUUGAGUAAUCAAUGAUUCCUCUUCUUCUUGAGUGUGUCUUUUUUAGUCUGCCUUCUUUGAACUACUAAUUGUUUCUUUUCAUUUUGAUUUGUCUCGUUAAAUUGAACAUCCUGACCGAACCCUCUUAACCACACGUUAGACAUUCUUAAAAAAUCAUUUCAGGAUUCAAACAUGUUCGAGAAGAAGAAAAAAGUCAAAUGGUUGGUAAUGUUUUCAGCAGUGUGGCCUCAAAUUAUGAUCUCAUGAAUGAUUUAAUGAGUGGUGGAUUACAUAGGUUAUGGAAGGACAGGUCAGAAUACUUUGAGGAUGCAUUUUUUAAUGAUUGCUUGUUAUGUUGUAUACUUCACUUUGGGUUCAUGCUGACAUUAGCUACUUUUCUAUGAUGCUUUCUAGACUGGUUUCUAUGCUGAAUCCAUUUCCUGGAAUGAAGCAUCUUGAUGUGGCUGGUGGAACAGGUGAGUACUGAUAUAAAACUAUGACAUGUUAUAAAGAAAAAAAAAGCACUUUAUUUGAUUAGAAAAGCUUUAAUGAAUAGAAAUUGGGAGGUGAAGCCACACCAUGUGGCCAUGUGUAAAAACAACCAUCUGAUUUACAAGGACAUUGUCUCCAGAGCCCAUACAUCUCUUUCCUUUGCAUAGCACCCAAAAGAAUACUAAUAGUGAGAAGACUUGCUUGCGCAACUCUCUUGUUCAACUAUGGUGUAAAAGCAAGUGGCCAACUGGUUCAGCUGCAAAUUUACAAGGAUAAUGUCUCCAGAGCCCUUAAAGUUCGUCAUUUCAUCUCAAGUUGAUUCCAGGUUUUAUCCAUACAAAUCUAGAAACCAAAAUCCCAAGUCUUCCUUUGGUCUCAGUUUGCUAGUAUUAAAUCCUUGGAAAACCCUCUUCAUAUAACCUUUACAUCCACCUUUUAAAUAUGCACGUGCUACUUAUAUCUAGCAAAUUGUUCAACUAAAAUUGAUGAUUGGUAUCUUCUUAUUCUUGUUGUUUUUUCAUUGUUAUCUCAUAGUUUUUAUGAGUUAUAAGAUCUUGAGUUUGGAAUUCUUAAUUGCAGGAGAUGUUGCUUUCAAGAUUCUGGAUGGCAUAAGUAGUAUCAAGCGUAGAGCAAAUCAAGAUCCCAUUAAUGAUCAUUUACAGGAAGAAACACAGAUACAUGUGUGUGACAUAAACCCAAACAUGUUAAAUGUUGGCAAAAAACGGGCUAUAGAGAGGGGUAUGAAUCAGGAACGAUCAGGACUUGAGUGAAAUCCAUGGAUGGUCUAAUUACAGUUUAUUAAUGUCAAUUUCUCGAUGAGUGAUGGUUUUCUUUCCUUUUUUUUUAAUUGACGCUUGCAGGUCUUGGAGAAGACAAAUCACUCAUAUGGGUGGAGGGAGAUGCUGAAGCCUUAAGUUUUGAAGAUAAUACCAUGGAUGGCUACACAAUAGCAUUUGGAAUUAGGAAUGUUACACACAUAGAGAAAGUUCUUGCUGAAGCGUAUAGGUUUGCUCAUAAUUUUGUGGCUUGCUGUUGACAUAUUCACCCAAAUUAUAUGAGACCCUCUUGACAUAAAUUAUAAAUAGCAAGCUAAGGAUCCUCUCAUUAAGAUUAUAAAACUAAACCAUGACAAAUAAUCAUUUCACUACUGCUGAUGCAAUAUCAGGUUACUCUGUUACAGGCUUUUAAGGAUGGCUUAUCUAAUUAGAGGAUCCGAUUGAAUGUUAUGAAUUAAAGGGAAUGUAGCCUUUAUCUUCUAAAUCAAUGUUUAUAACAUAUUUUCUCCAAAGAAAAUGCAUAUAACAAUGACAUUUAUUGGUUACAAUUGCAAAAAUAGCAUUGAACAUGCAUAUUAUCAAGAUCAACAUGUCAAGAAAGUUACUUGAGUUAUCAUGGUGCUACUGUGGAUAAAACCUUCAUCAGUGUCCGAGUAAAGGGGAUCUGAAUCCACUACCAGCUUAAAUUCUGAGGGUAGAGGUUCCUAGGUAAUUUUUGUUUUCCACUUAGAGAGUUGACCUUGUUUGCUCCAAGUUAGGUAAUUGCAUUAAAUGUUUGCUGUUGAAUUUGAAAUAAUGACAAUUAGAAGUGGAAUUAGGUGGUGAGAAAGUUAAAUAUUAGGUUUAAAUUUUAUGAGACCCAACGACUGCAUGGAGAGUUUUUAAAAGAUAUGAGUUGAAGCAUGAAGCUAACAAGAAAAUCGUUUAGAUGAUGACUAUGAAUUUAUUAACACAAAAAUUUCUUAUUUCAGUCUAAACCAUGGCGUAGUUGUGCUUCUUGUUAUGUGUUUUCCAUUCAUUUAGUAAAUGUCUUCUCUUUCGAUAUGUAUGAUCAGCAGGCUUUUCUUCUGUUAUAUGGUCCCCUUUCUUUCUUCAGAAAUUUUCCAGCUUGUGUAAUAUACAUUAAUGUUUCAUGCAAGCUUCAUCUGUUAUUUUAUUAGGGUAUUAAAACACGGAGGAAGAUUUCUUUGCCUUGAACUGAGCCACGUUGAAGUUCCUGUGUUUAAAGAAUUGUGAGUACACCUUCUUACAUACAUUAAAGGAUAAAUGUUAGCAUUUCUUGUAGUAUCAUUUUUAGGCAUUAUUUCAACAAAAUAUAUCCUUUUUCCUGUGUUUAAUUUUUUCUCAAUUUUAAUAAAUUGACAAGUCAAUAAAUUAUGCCAGAAGUGGGCAGUCUUUCCUUUCUGGUAGUGUAUAGGUGGUGAAAUGUUUUUUUACAAAUGAAAUUGAAAAGGAUAAAUUACAAUAACUCCCAUGAGGUGUGGUGAAACUAUAGCCACCACCCAAAAGUUCGAAGUUUUGACAAAAUCCCCCCUCCAUGUUCAAGUAAAUAAGAUAAAAAUCCUCUUUUAUGCCCAAAAUAUUGUUACUGUCAAAGUAGUAUUUUGAAAUCCAUUUAGAAUAUUAUGCUUAAUAUAUAUAUAUUUUGCAAAUCUUCAAAGUUUUGAGUUGUAACAAUAAGUUCACCAUACCUCAGGGUGUUUACUAAUUUACCCGGUUCUGUAACAUGGUUUUCUUCAUCUUUAUUGAAUAUUAACUAUCCAGCCUCUUCCAUUCCAUAGAACAUAGUCAAUCAUAGAGACAAAGGCCUUGGUGUGAUGAAGUGAGAUUGACAGAGAAAUAUUACAUCUUAGUUCUAACCCGAAUUCAAUAAUACAAGUCACAUGCUCCCAUAACCCAUCUUUCUCAUUGGAGUUCUGGAUUCACUUUUCUAUUUUCAUAUUAUUAUAGGAGUUUAUAUUUGUAUUGAUUAUGAAUCUAAAGUUUAUAAAGAGUAGAUUGAUUUAUUUUAUUGUCUCUAAUUGAUUUUUCUGUGCACUACAUACCUGCUGUUAGUCUAUAUACAAUUGUUGUUUCCUAACCAGUUAAUCCCACUAGGGUGCGAACAGAUUGUUAACUGGGAGCAUAAUGUUGAUUGAGAAGAUGGUGAACUUUAAUAAAAUAUGGUCAAAACAUCAUGGCUAUGGAGAUUAGUGUUCUGUAGAUGUUGCAAUACGAAGUACAAAAAGUGGCAAAUACUGUGAUUGAACCAGAUUAACAUUAUGCUCAUGUUGCAAUACAAACAAAACAACUAUAGCAUGUAGAUCCUGAAAUAAAUUAGCUUUUACUAAUUACAUGAACUUUGAAUUGUUAAGAAGAUCUUGCUGUUUCACUUGAAUUUGAGUGGUUGAAAUUUUGUUGAUUAGUUUUUAAUCCUUGCAUGCUCUGGCAUGUGGAAAGCACUCACAUGGAAGACUUUAUGAUUGUUUGUAGCAAGAAAAAGAUAUAUGCUCACUGCUCAAGCUUUAUUCUAUGGAUUGCAGAUGACUUCUACUGUCCCAGCUAAUCUUAGUGAAGCUUAGCUUUCUUUCCACUUCAAUUUGUUUUUUCUUCCCCAUAUUUUUCAGAACACUGCAUCAUCUAUCCUGUUUCAAGAAUGUUCCUUUUUCUUGCAGAUAUGAUUACUAUUCAUUCUCAGUCAUUCCAGCUGUGGGAGAGCUAGUUGCAGGUGAUCGGGAUUCUUAUCAGUACUUGGUUGAGAGCAUACGUCGUUUUCCUCCACAGGUCAUAAUUUUGUCCUACGUACUUUUGCAAAUAUUACCACAAUUUUGCCAAAGUAUCUUAGAAGCUAAGAAAUUGAGUCCACACUAUAGUGUGAUGCCUUUGUAGAACCCUGGAUGUUACAUAUACUGCUAUAACAAAAUCAAGGAAUGAGGUUUUCUAUAUUCCCAAUACAUACUUCAGCGGAGCCUUUUUCUGAAAAUAAGAUAUAAAAUAAAAAUUAAAACAACUGGUGUAUUUUGUGCAUGCAAGUGAACACCUUAUCCUCGAAUGUGGAAACUAGAUAUUUUUAUAGCAACCUUACAUGGUUACAUGGAUUAUUGCUUUUUGCAUAUUCCAAACGUGAAUAUGCACAAGAUAGAAUGUGAUUUUAAUAUGGCAUGCAAGAGUGUUUUAAUGAUCAUUGUACAUGGCUCAAGGUUAUAAAAUUCAUUUCUUUUACUAAAAAAAGAAAAGAAAAGAAUCAACUCAUUUUUAUUACAUUGAACUGCCAGUAAUGUGUUAUCAGCAUGUAUUUUUAUCUGAAACAGUGCAUCUAAGUAUAUAUAUUUUUUUCCUUUAAUUAGAAAGAAAAGGACCCCUCGUGUUUCUAGUCUGCAAAUAUAAUUAGCCAUAAACUUUGCUUCCUACAAACCUUGGGUGCUAUUUAUCAUUAGUUAUGAAAAUAAUAAUCUUUCCAUGCUAUUGAGUCUUCAUGCUAAAAGGUUGCAAACCGACAUAGAAAGCUCGAUAUUAUUCAGCAUUUUUGCAUGACAGUUUAUGACUCAAACCCAUCCUGUGGUAGAAAGCCCGAUAUUUCAAGCUCUAUACCAAACAUUAGCACUUCAACAAAUUAUUAACCAUCCAAACAGAUAAAUUAUGUGCUUUAAUUUUUCAUGCUCUAUGCCACAUUUUCCUUUCACCUAAAUACAUGCCCUUGUGAUUUCAAGUAUCUAUCUAAGUAAACAGAAUCACUUGGCUAAAGUUUGACUAUAUAAAGUAUCAUUUGAAGAAAAUGUAAGCCCAAUAUUUGAUUCAUUAGUUGUGCACUUUGAAAGAUAUUUUCUGCUCGGUGAUCUGCAACUGAUAAAUUUGAACCCUAUGUGUGAAUCCCUGUGAGUUAACUGAUUGGAAUUAAAUUACCUUAGCUGAGAGAGGAGAGUGGGGAGGGAGGCAUGAGGACAAUGGACUAUCUAGGAGCUUAUAUUGCACGUGCUCGCUGAUAACCUGGGUUUAAUUGUGUGUGUGUAUUCACCUUUGUCUGUUAUACUUAAUGACUUAUUGCAAGUGAUGAAUGCAGGUGAAAUUUGCUUCGAUGAUUGCAGAUGCAGGAUUUCAGAAGGUUGAGUAUGAGAAUCUCGUUGGGGGAGUUGUAGCCAUUCAUUCAGGUUUAAAAAUAUGAAGGUGUUCAAGGACAAACCUUAAUUUGUCUCAAUUUUUUCUUAAAUAAUGCAUCUGCAAGUUUUUUGAGGAUGCAGAAAUUUUGUCAGCACACCUAUUAUCCUCUUUCUUUUCUAUUUAGACGUUCAAUUCAGAGGGCUAAUGCAUUUUUUGUAUGGUUUUGGUAUUGAAUAAAUGACUCUUCAGCCUACUCUUUGGUUCUCUAGGCUUUCUUUUUUCCCUUCUCUCUCUGCUUUUUUUUUUCCCCUAAUAGAUAUAUACUAACCUUGUUUCCCUUAAUACGAACUCAAGAUUUUGAUGUAAGAAAAGCAAAAUGGAGUUACUGGGCCAAUAUUAGGGGUGAUUAUUUUCGGUUCGGUUCGGUUUUUACAUGAAAAAAUUAACAAAACCAACAUUAUUAUUUUUAAAAAUUUAAAACCGAAGGUUUUUGUUGUUCAAAAACCAGUAAAACUGAAAAGCAAAUUUCGAUUAUGUUGUUCAGGAACUUGUUUCAAUUUACAUGACUAAGACAUAAUUGAAAGGAAAACAGAUCUGCCCACACAAUACAAGCAAAUCUCGUUUCUGUUGUUCAGGAACUUAUUUCAAUUUAGAUGAUCAAGAUAUAAUUGAAAGGAAAACAAAUUUGCCCAUAAAAUACAAGCAAAUCUUCGUUUCUGUUGUUUAGGAAUUCUAGUUAAAAUACAAGCAAAACCAGAGUUGCAAAUUAUAACAUAAUAAAAAAAACAAACCCAUAAAAUAUCAAGAAAAAUAGAAACGGGAGAACAAUCAAGAUUGGAAGGAAAAUAGAUCUGCCUAUAGUGAAUGAGUUUUAAAAUGAGAGCUCAUGAUUGGAAAGAAAAUAUGUCUGCCUAGUGUGAUGUAAUUUGAUUGAAGUAAAUGGUGAGGGAGAGAAGAGAAUAUGAUGGAGAAGAUAAGAUGAGGGAUGAACUUGCAAGAGAAAAAGGGAGAAAAAAAGGGGAGGGGGCGGGGGAGGGGAAGAUGAUUGGGGGGACCUUUAGGUUAGAGAUUAUUUAUAGUCUCUUUUAUUUUUUUCAGAGUUAAUGAGUUAUGGUUGAACUAGUUCAGUUCUUUCGGUUCAAUUAGUUUCAGACAUUUGAAACCGAAACCGAACCGAACCGGGGAUUAUUCUGGGUUUUCUAAUCGGUUAAUUUAAUUUUUUUCUUGGUUCGGUUUUUUCGGUUAUUAUUUUUCCAGUUUUUUUGGUUUAAUCAGUUUUUCGGGUUUUUUGCUCACCCCUGGCCAAUAUCAGCAAAUUAAAGAAGAUAAUGAACAAUUUCAGAGGAUUGGUUCUCAACGAGUCACUAGUGUGCUUAUUCGGAGGCACAGCGUGACUGCCUGCCAAAGGAACACACACAUGAAAUUGACAGCCAUCAACCUUCAUGGAAGAAAGCAAAUUAGUCAUGAGCAACGUGUUGUUAGUCUUCCAAUAUACAUCUUCAUAAAUGAGAGUAGUAAGCUGCAGAUUGCUUUUCCUCACUCAAACUGAUGCUCUGCAUGCUUUUAACAAAAGAAGAAAAAAAUAAAAUAAAGGAAAGGAAAUGAGAAGACUUGCCUGACCAGAUGAGAAAUGCUGCUGGUGGUGUGCCUGGUGGCCUAAUAUAGAGGUUGGCGUGACUGAGAAGGGGGUUCCUACUAUUCACGGUGUUGUUGGCUGAGGUUGGUCAUUGUGGAGAGGAAGUGUAGAUUUUGCUAUGCCUGAGGCUGGUCACGGAAACACUGUUAGGGUUGAGAUUUGUAACUUUUGCUGUGGAGCUUGAGGUGAAGUUGCUGGAAUCAAUGGUUGUUGAGGGGUCUCUGGUGUAGCUAAAAAAAGGGUUGUUUGCUAAGAUGAGGAAGAAAGGCUGGUUUUAUGUCUUUCAGGAAGAUGGUUUUGGGAUUUUCAAGGUCUGGGAUAAGAGGCUGGUCUUGGGCUUUUUGUGGUGGAGCUGAGAUCUUCCUGGUAAAGGAAAGUAGUGCAAAAGGAUUCUUCAUUUUUUUUUCCUGUUUUUUCUCCCCCUGGUUGUCAUGAGGUUGGUAUUUAAAGGGGGUGAGGGACAUGUUAGACCACCUUACUCAUGUUGAUGAAUUUAUUUUUUCUUUGUAAGAUAUAUAUAACAAUCGAUUGAAGAAGAGAUACAAGGAUGAUCCGUUGACCUAUCCAGAUCUCAAUUUGGAUUUGUGGUUGGAAGCAGGAUCGUUCGGUGGAUUCGAUAGAAAUUAGACGUGCAAAAUAUCUAACACUAUGACCGAGAACUUGUGGACGACCCAUAGUGUUUUGACCGUUGGACACUUGCAGUCGAUUCCAAGCACUCAAACUCUGGAGUUCACAACGAUGUUAGAUCAACGAGUACAGACUCAAACGACUCGUCUUAAUGAAAAAUAUAAAAGACUUAUUGUUGAUUAUGAAGAACUCCGCUAAUUGGUAAUGAAGAUGACAUCAUAAAUGGAUGGUACAUAUGCAUCUCCUAAUUGGCCCCAUGGUCCUGUUAAUGAUCAGCCUCCUCCUCCUCCUCCAACGUUGCCUCUAUUUUAGAUUUAUUGUAUUUGAACGUACAAAUGUUUAAAUUUGUAAUAAAUAUUUGAUUUUUAUAUUAUUUUAAUUAUUUUUCUACUUCUGUUCAAUAUAUUUUUCUUAAAAAUAUUUUAAAAAUAUUACCAAUGGGGUUAUCGACGGAACAAACCUGUCAAUAUAUUUAGAGAGUUGGAAAAGAAUUAUUACAAAUGCCACUGCUAACUCACCGACAAAAUUACAGAUGGUAUUAUGUCGGUGAUAUGUUAUAUUUACCGAUGGAUAUACCAAUGGACAAAUAAAAACAUCGAUGGCAUUACAUACAGUUCUCUUGUUAGGGAUAUAUUAAAUUUAUCAAUGAAUAUACUAACAGAAUGAAGUAGGUAAAUUUUUUUGGCAUGCUUUGUCCAUUUGUAAUCUAUCAAUAAAUUUCUUAAUGAUAGAAUCACCGAUAUACCAUAAAUUAUCGACGAGAGUUUUUUUAAUGGACUGUUUCCAUCCAUGAGCUUGUCGGUAAAAUACAUUCUAAAAGAUUAUGAGUGUAAAUAUUAACAUAAAUUUUUUUUGGUAAAACUAUUAAAUCCGGUAGUGCAAAUGAUCAACCUAAACAUAAAACAUGCUAAGUUGUCUUUUAAACUACCUUUAUCAUUAUAUUACUAACCUUAAAACAUCAACCUAUGCAUCAAACAAAAACAUGAACAUAUAUAGGCAUACCAAAUUACGACAUAACUGACUAUCUAAGCACAAGCAUCUAUGACAUAUUAAACUAGCAAAGCAAUCAUAGUGGUGCACAGUAAACAUUCAAACAUGAAUUUAAAAGACAAAUAAAAGAGGGUGUGUACUCACUGAGCUACACCUCAUCAAAGUUGAAGAUAUACCUUGUAAGGGAAAAGUUGAUUCCUUCUCUAAAUUGUAUGCUUCUUUCCUCUUGAUUUCUAAUUUCUUUUUAAUCUAGAAUUUGUUUUUUGCUUCUCUUACUUCUUUCUUUCUCAUCUUAGCACACCAUUCUUAUAGUUUUUUUCUUAACCAACUCUAAGGUAUUUUCUAUCAAUACUUAUGUGUUUCCUCUUUAUUUUCUUCAUGUGAUUUCUAUCUCUCCAAAUCAACCUCCCCUGUGCUCAAAAGCGAAUGCCCUUUUAUAAGCAAUCAAAAACUAGAAAUUUCAAAAUCAUGGUGGUUUUGCGAAGAAGUUUAAUGGAAGAAUCUUAUCCUUUCUCUUCCACAACCUUCCUUUUUAAAAUAGGUGGUGCCUUGUAAAUCAAAAUCACACUUGAGAAAAUAGCCUUGUAGUCUUUUAUAUCAUGGUGAAUUUUUCUUCGGUCAAAAUUAUUGGGUUAGGUUCUUUUCAAACUCAUUAUGAACAUUAAGCCAUAAACAUAUCCGUGAUAGACCUAAACCUUGUAAAAUGGAUGUAGAUGUAUUAUUAGAAACAAACCACACUUGAUUUAGAGGUCUAGAAAUCCAUAUUCAUUGAUUGGAAGAUAAGCUCUCGAUCAGAUUGAAUCUACCAAUGUAGAGGUGGAUGAUCAGGGACAAGAUGAUGAUUUUAUUGAGCCAGAUGAGAUACAAACAUGUGAUGAAGAUAAUUGGUCCUUGUAGAGCAGAUGUUUUUCAAUGGAGUGGUGGUGGUUAGAGCCCCUGAGGUGGUCAUAGAUGCCACAUUUAUUCGCCUAAAAAUGGUAUCUCGAUCAAUUUUCGUCUGUUGAAGAAGAUGGUAAACAGGAACUGGACGACAUGUCACUCAUUAUCUUUGUUAAAAUCAAGUGACAUGUCGCAUAUCUUAACCCUAGAAUUUAGAGUUUCUAAUUGGGAAUUUAAUAAACUUUAAUUUAGUCAUUGUUUUUUUUUAAUUUCAGCAUAAACACCCUUUACUUUUUACAAUUACACCCCUGAAAACCUUGAUUAAAAUCCUUUGAUUUGAGCGCCUUUUGUAAUUUGAUCCUCAAUUUUCACAUUAAACAAUUUAACCCCUGUCAAGCAUCAAACUUUUAGUUUCUCUCAAAUUGAUCCUUGAUUUGAUUAAUUUCAGUCCUCGAACUCAGAUGCUAUUUGCACUUUGGUCUUUAGUUUUGAAAUUCUUUAACUUGACCCUCAAUUAGCCUUCAAUCUUAAAAUAUCUUUCAAUUGAACCCCUGAUGGCACCAAUUUGACAUUUCAAAGUUUCAAUUGUGUCUUUUCUUCAAUUGAGUCCUCAAUUGAAUCCAUAAAAUCCAUUAGAAGUUUAAUUAAGUCCUUCAACUUAAUUAAUUCUUUCAAUUUUUGCCUAAUUGACUUUCAAACUUAUUUUUUAUCUCCUCGUGUGCCGAAGAUUUUUUUGGAUUUAAAAUUUUUUAUUUUUUAAUAAAAAUUAUGUAUUUUUAUAAAAAAAAACAUUUAGGGGUUUUAAAAUUAGAUUAUGACAAUACCUAUAAAAUAAAAACUCCAAAAUAUUUAUUUUUGGAACAAAUGUUUUUCAAUUUAUUCCUACGUGGGCAUUCUUAUGGAAAUUAUAGUAGCUCAUUCCACCAUAAACUAAAAUUUCAAGACAUAAAUAAAGUCAAAAUAAUCAUUAAUUUAAUUUGGGAACCAAGGUUGUUCCUACAAUCUUUAGGGUCGAUAAAAUAUGACAGAAUUAAAAAAUCAAUUUAGCACUAAAAAAUUCCAUGAUAAAUAUAAUUAAAUAGAUUAAUUAAUUUCUUUGAGAACAAGAAUUCUUAGACAAAUAUAUCAACAUCAAUAUCAAGACAGGUAUUAUAAUUAUGGCUCUGAUACCAACUGUUAGAUUUGAUAGAUCUAAACAUGUUUCCAAAACAAUUUAUAUUUAGAUCUGAUGUGGAAAAAUAAAUUGAUCAAAAUAUAUUUUCUGAUAUUGAUGAAAAACACUCAUGGAAUUUUUUUUAAGAUUUUGGUACUUCAAAGCUACGACACACUCAAAUUUAAUAGUUUAUUUCUUUAAAUAAAAGUCUGUAUUUCAGUAUAUGAGCUUAGAGAUCAAAAAUAUGUAUUUAUAUAAUAAAAGUCUCGUUAAACUUUUAUUAAUAUAACUCUAAUGCCAUUAAUUUAAGAAAUAUUAAUAUGAAAGUUAAUUUGUUACAUCAAUUAUUAAAGUUCUUGAAAAGAAAUUAAAUCUCAAAAACAUCACUUUAACAUAAAGAUGUAGGCUUAUGUACUUAGAUUAGACACUGUGACGCGUGCAGGCAUAAAUGAUUUAUGACCAGCUCCCUCGAAAUUCCACUUCAAGAAACUCAUAAUUAAAAGUUCAAAUAAUUGUACUAUAGAAAAUAAGAUAGAAGAAUGGGAAUUUUCAGUAACCCCUUCCACAUCAACACUGUCAAAUCACUCAACUUUGACUCAACAUUAUGGAACUCGUAAAAUAUCUGUAUUAUGAAGUAAUUAAGGUUCAAACAUGCUAAAUUUUUUAUUUUAUAGUAUUUAAUUUAUAAAGUUUUUUAGACAUAUUAAAAUUAUAAAAAUAACUUUCAAUAAACUUAAAAUACAUUAAUAAAUAUAGUGUAAAAAGAAUAAAAACAUAUAUAUAUAUACAGUGGCAGAUGGCCUAGCAAAGCUACUCUAGGAAAUUGAGAACAGGAGAGAAGAGUUUAAAGAAUGUCAUAUAUACUUGAUUUUACAAUUUACAUCCCUGUUUAAUUUAUAGGUUGUUUCUGUUGUGUCUCUCUUGCUGUCGCAAGAUUGUUGUAGCUAGGUUUAUUUUCCUUAACAGGGACGUAGAGAUUCUGCAGAUUAUACAAAUUGACCAUAGAUUGCUUUUCCAUUUGCAGUCUUGGCCACCAUCUUACUGGCUGCUGCUCAUCUUUAAUAAAUCUCGACUUCGUAAAAAUAAAAUAAAAUAAAUAAAGAUCAGGGAUUGGUGGGUUUUUGAGAGACAAUGCUAUUCACUUCUCAUAUAUUUUUUCAUCUUUAUCUGGUACUAUAGAUUCAAAUGAGGUGGCUGACCUUCUAAGCAUAGCAUAGUCUAGAUAGGGAUAUGAAAUUUUUGGAUUGGCUGUCAUCUUGAUUUAGCAGACUGUGUAAUCUCAAGCCACUUCCUUGCUGGCUAUUUUUCCCAUUUUAUUAAUUAAUUAGAUUAUCAUUAAUUUUUUUUUUGAUACGUUAUUUAUAGUAUCAUAGUGGAGUAAUUUUUAGUGGUAAAUUACUAUUUAAACAUUCAUGUUUAUCAUGGUAUAGUUUUAUUUUGCGCCUCCAAAAUAUAUUAUAUCCCAUAAUGGUAAGAAUUUGACGCAAAAAAAAAAAAUAUAGCAAUCAUAUAUAUAUAUAUAUAUAUAUAUAUAUAUAGAAUUUUAUAUAUAAAAAUAUUAAUCUUUACCAUAAGAAACCUAAUUUUAUUUUUUAUUACUCAAUAUUUUGAUAAGAGGUCCCAAGAUAUGAUUUAUAUUAUUCUCUAACACACCCUUUCAAGUGAAAAUCUUUUUGAUUUGAAACUUGCAGAAACCCAUAUUACCUUGUGCUUAAUUUUUUUUAUCAAAUAAAUAGGGAUAAUAAAAUUCGAAUACCAUGUUAAAUAACCAAUUCAACCCAAUAACUUAAACUGUUAGGUGAGGUCUCAAGAUAUGAUUUAUAUUAUUCUCUAACAUAUUACAAUUCUCUUUGGUUGUUUAUAACAUAGUUUUGAAACCCGUCCUGGCCCGACGGGUUGACCCGGGACUCGACCGAUCUGGGACUGGAACCUGGCCGGGUUUAAAAAAAUAGAGGAAGUUAAAACCCGAUGUGACCCGGCAAGACCCAGUCAAACACCCGGUUGCAACUCGUUGACUUUUGUUUUUUGUUUUUUACUAAAAGGACGUCGUUUUUAUUUUUUGAAAAAAUCAAAAUUGACCUGGGCGACCCGGUGACCCGGGCCUUGGGCAGAGUCGACCACCGGGCCGGGUUUAAAAACUUUGGUUUAUAUAAUAGUAAAAACAUCAUAAACAAAGCUAAAAGAGUUCUAAAUUAAAUACAAAAGAAAUAAGUUUUAAUUUAUACAAUUGGAUAUGUGUGUUCACAAUCAGUUUAGAAAUUUGUUGAGAUAGACUUCACAUCAAGUUGGAGACCUUGAUUUUGUGUUAUCAGUAUAGAAAUUUGUUGAGACAUUAAUUAACGCUAGCAGCAGAAGCCAUCAUCUUUAAACCUAUCAUGUCCGUACAUACGAGAUUUCACAGAUAUAAAUAUAAAAAUGAAGUUGUUUUGGUUUAUGUAAGUACGUAUGCAUCCUUCUUUCAAUUUUAAUGGCAAGAGUAUCUCCGAAUAGACUUCUAUACUUUAAGAAUAAAUCCUUCUAUGAAUGGAGUUUAAGUAUGAUAUCCAAAUGAUUAAGGAUUAAGUAAUUAUUAUUGCUUCUUGAGACUAAUGCCUAAAAGCAAAUUUUAUUGGAAUUAUAUUGUGAAAGGCUAUGAAGAGACAGUAGAUAUGUCUUUCCAUUGUUCUUACAGUCACAAUAUUUUAUUCUCUAAGAACUUAUCGUCUUCUCCAUCAGAGCUGAGCAUGAUUGAUAUCGUAAGCAUCAGAAUCAUCAAGCUUCAGCUUAACUAGUUCGCUGAUAUCAUAUGGAUAAGCGUCCUUUGGUGACUGACGUUUAUAUGCUCUUUUUCCAAAGGCCCAAGCUUUAGCUUCAGUAAAAUGGGCUCCAUCCCAGUACACAUAGUCACUCCUGUUGCUACAUGGGAAGGAGAGAGAUUUACAUGGGACUGAACCAGGUUCUACCUCGCAACAGCUCUUACGGGUUUGUGUAAAACCUGCAAGCAAGAAAAAAUAACAUGGGCAUCAGAGGCGUAACAAAAAAGUCGCCUUCAACCGUGAGAGAAAGAGAGCAAGGGAGGGAGGGGAUUCGUACCUGUAUUCGUCUGAUCAUCAGAAUCAAUUUCGUAAGAGUUUAUGUAGGUAAACACAGCAUCAGUAUGCCUAUCAUUAAGUUUUCUGAGCAGUUCUUGAAGCUUGUCGUUGAAAAUUUGAACAUAAUCAUUGAGCUUGUAAGCACAUGUAGAUGCAUCUAGUUCAUUGGGAUUUUUUUGUAUGUUGGACGGCAUACAUCCUACCCGAAUAAGUCCGAACACAGCUAUCUUUCUUGCUCCUGAGCAAUACAAUUUCUGGCAGCAAGGGAAAAAAAAGGGAAUGAAGUGGGGGUCUUUGUUAGUUUCCAAUCACGUCAAACAUUAAUUGCUGUUUUACAAGAGACAUUAAGUAGGGCUGGCUGACCUCCAGCUGAGUUUCAUAAGUUUCAAUGAGAAGUUGAGCAUAUUCUUCAGGAGUAUAUAGCUUGCUGCUAUUGUAGUCGUCCAAGAAAUAAUUGUUGAGGUAGUCGUUAUGACCCAUAUCAGACACAUAGAUGCAUUGGCUUAAGUACUUCCUAGCAACUUCCUCGCUUCCCAAGAUCUUGGCAAUUCGUGAAACCGUGAUAUUGUGAUUAUAUAACUGAAUAUUCAUGGUAUAUAGUUCUCCCUUCACAUACACAAAAGAAUCAUAUGAAUAGUUAGCGUUGCCAAAGCAUACAAGAUUCAUAGUACUGAAUAGUAUAAGGUUUUAGUUAUGAGAGGCAUAUGAUCAACAAUCACCGUAAGAUAGCCAGUUAAAUCAAGGAUGCCAGCUCCAUUCGAUCCAUAAUUUACACCAUCUAGAAAAUCGGAGCAACUUCCGACACCAAAGUCCGAAAUGUAACUGUCGAAACCUAAUUGUUCAGCUGAAACAAAAAAUAAUAAUAAUUAAGAUCUUCAUAAUAGAGUAUAAAAACAAUAACAAUGAUCACAGCUAUCUAAUUGUAAUUUAAUAAAACGGUCACAACUAUCUUUUAUUUUCCAUUAAAGAAAACUAAAACACUAUAUUUAAUUUGUAAUAUAAGGGAGGAGAGCAAACUGCAGACCAAUGGUGUCAGCUAUGUUGAGACCGUUGCUGCACCUUCCUGAAGCCCCAGUAUCAAAGUCAAUCCCAUAAGGAAGGUAAUUAACUUUAGCUGGAGUGCUAAGGUAGUUAUUGUUUCCGUUAUCAAAGAGGGAAUCUCCAAAGACGAAGUAGCAAGGAACUUGAGGUAUGGCCUUUCCAGAAGUCCAGUGUUGCCAGUUUGACACCAGCAACACCACAGACAACACCCACAAUACCUUAACCCCACUUUCCAUUGACAAAUAAAACGAAAGAAGGAAACAAAAACAGUAAAUAUAGAAAGAAGGAAGAAGUGCGCUAGCUAGGGAAGAGUGCUUUGAAGUAGAACGAACCAGGCCCUAUUUAUAGAGUGGAGAUCUAGCUAUCAGCUUGUAAAUGUGUUGUUCUAUUGUAAGCCACGUGUUUUUUUCAAUCUAAUUAGUUUACAAUGCCUUAUAGAUCUGAUUUUUUAAUUCAACGUAACAGUAAGUAUCCUUGAAUCUUGUCACUUAUAGUAUUUCCUCCUAAUAGUUAGAAUUGUGUGGUUUCUUAGGAGUUUGCUUUCUGCUCCUUCUAACAUCAAUUAUCUCAUACAUUUCAUACAUUCUCUUGAUAUCAAAUCAGUAAUUGUUUCUUUCCUAGUAGGCAUAUUAGCCUUUUUUUAGCUUUCUAAUGCAAUAAUUUUGAACGAUUUUUCUUUUCGAGUUCUAUGAUCAAUAUAAGUUGUUGUUGUUUCACUUUUUCAAACUUCUCUUCAAAAUCGAAGUCAGUAAUUGAAUAGGCAAUUACACUUUCUUCAAAUAGCCAACUAGGUAUAUCCUUUCAAGUGGUUUUUUAUGUUUGUUUAUUUUUUAAAAAUAUUUUUAUAUCGAGUAAUAUCAUCUAAAAUGAUGUAAAUUAUAUCUGAAUACUUAAGAUUUCAAUGUAUCACUUUCAUAAUUAACUUAAUACUUAGUUAUAACUAUAGUGCACUUUGUUCACCAAGUCUUAAAACGAAGACCAUAGCUUCUAUGCACUCCUCAAGAUCUUGGACAUCCUAGCCAAGCUAGUCAACGUUAUUUCUGGUUUUGUUUUAUAAAAAGGCUCAUGAAAAUAGCCUUGCAUCUCUUCCCGCUUAUUGUAUAGUUAGAUAAGUGGGCAAAACAAUAUACAUAGUAUACAUAAAAGCAAUUUUUAGGAAAUAUAACUUGUAGUUUGUUCCAUGUUUCAUACACCAUGCAUAUUGCUAGCACCAUCAUAUCAUUAACCUUGUAUAUUGAGAAUAUACAAGUUAUAUCAAGCGAGCACAUCGAAUUUUUUUUGUUUAUGUUGGUUUAAAUACCAUAUUUGUUAAUAUGAUAUUUUGGAUGAUGGUUUCACAAUAGUUUUUGAAGAGAAUUAGCAUUCAAUUUGCAACUGAUUUUUAACAUGAGUUAUAAAUAAAUCAGUUCAACUAAAGUUCAAAUUUGUUAGUUGCUAAAAUCUAAUAUCUAUUAGAAGUUUAGUUUUUAUUAUUGUUGUGUGCAGAUCCUGAGUGUCCUUUUGAUUAACCAAGCAAGCAAGGAAUGAGAUUUAUUAUAUAAUUAAAGUGCAGAUUGAAUUCAACAGAACCAUAUGACAUUCAAUUCCAGCUUCUUUUAAAUUAAUAAGUCAUAAUAUAAUGAUUAAGUUCCUAUAUUAACAAUAAAAAAAGGUCAGAUAGGCUUCUGGUUUAGGCCUUUAUACCUUGUUUAGAACUUUUUUUUUAUGGGAUAUUUUUUAAUUAUGCUUACCCUUUUAUACAAAAAAAAUUAUAAAAAACAUGAUAAAAAAUUGAAAAAACAAAAUAGUGGUUUUGUAUGUGCAUAUGACCGCAUCCUAAAUAAGAAUGUUUGUACCCAGGAGGUCCUGGCGGAGCGGUUAGGCGCGCUCUCGUCGCUUACGAGGUCUGGGGUUCAACCCCUCUCUUCGUCUGCAGCCGGUCUCUUGAGGAGCCCUUGCCACCCGGGGCGGAGAUUAGCCUGGGCGAAGCCUGGAAUACCCUGGUUCACAAAAAAAAAAAAAAAGAAUGUUUGUGCAUUUUUAACAAAAAAAUAAAAAUAAAAAAAUGAUUUUUUAUAUAUUUUAAAAAUAUCAAAAAUAGAUUUGUGUUCUCUUGUAUUUGUGGAUUUGCCAUAAUCAUUACUGGAUUUACUAACAAAAUUAUUACGGGUAAAGUUUUUUAUUUGACAUGAUAACUUAUUCGAUAAAUCAGCCAAUAAUUAUAUUAUCAAUGAAAUAAAAAUUAUCAAUGAUAUGUUUUUUUUUUAUGAUAAUUUUUAUUUGGUAUUUUAACAAUAAUUGUACGACGGAUAGAUAUUCAGGCUUUGAAAACCAACAAAUCAAGCUUUAAAUCUAUCAGUAUAUUAAUUAAUUGUAUAUUAUCCUUAUAUUAGAGCUACGACGUCAUGCUACACUGGAUCACCCAUCCAAAAUCAUAAUUGAAAAAUAAUACUCACACACACACACACAUGUAGGCGUUCAAAUACAAAGGAAAAAUGGCUAUGGAAUGUAAUAUUAUUAUUAUUAUUUUUUAAGAGAAUUUUUAUUCAUCAGCUGUGUACGCAUAAUUAUAAGUGGCGUUUAUCAAUCGCAUAUUGUUUGUAAAAUCAAAUCCUAAAAACAAUUUUAACACGACACGAAAAAUACAAAAUAAACUUGUAUCGUAAAAACAGAUCGUAAAAUUAUAAGAAAUUUUAAAAUAUAUAAAAAAAAUUUCAUGGUUCAAAUAAAAAUUCAUACAUAGUUUAAACACUUUAAAAUACAUGUUUCAAAUAAAAAUUUAUAUAUAAAUAUAUAAUUUAAAUAAAAAUGAUAGAAUAGCUUAAAUUUUAUGUCAAAUUAAUAAGUUGUCGCGAUUGAGAAAAAAAUAAAAAUAAUAGAAGGGGUAAGUUGCCAAACAUGUUAAAUCAAGAUAGAAAAGACAUGAAAAAUGACAAGAGCCGUCUAGCUUACACAAACAUUAAUCUAAAAUAACAAGGAGACAUUAACAGUGAAAAGUACAUACUGUUUCGUUGUUUCUCGUGCUGCACAUAUACUGCACCAAAUGCCAAUAGUCGGCCAACACUUGUAAUAGCAAUUAUAAUUUUAUAUUUUACGGGUAAAAUCGUUAAAUCAGUUGUAAAAUCAUAAUUUUACAUGAUUUUACAUGAUUUUAAUAAUUUUACCCGGUAUUAUCUAUUUUCGAGUUUUAUGAAUGAUUUAACAUGUAAAGCUUAUAUUGAUUCGCAAAAUCGUAUAAUUUUAUGAGUUAAAUCGCAAUUUUAACAAUUCUAAUCUUUAUAUUUUAGAAUAUUCGCUUAUUAAAAUAUCUUGGAACGAACUUAUCACCUGGAAACGAAAAUUGAGGUUGACAAACUUGGCAAUUACUGCUAUUUUAACAUCUUCAGGCCUGUCUUGUAUCCAAUGUCGUUUACCAGAGCAUCAACUCCACCUAAAUAAGAGGGCACAUGCAGCAUUUGCGCGGUUCAGCUUUUCUCAAACCUUAUUUUUCACCUUUGUCACUGCUUCAUUGCUCUUCUUGUUACGCUACGAUCACAACCAAAAUCAUAAUUCGAAAAAAAUAAAAAUAUAAAAUAUAAAGCGAUCAAUACAAAGGAGAAAGGGCCAUGGAAUUUGAGUUUUUUAUUAUUAUUUCUUUAGAGAAAUUUUAUUCAUUGUCUGUAUGCGCAUAAUCAUAAGUGGCGUUUAUCAAUCACUUAUUGGUGUUGGGGCCCACAUGAAACAAAAUCAUGUAGGUAGGUUACCCGUAAAAAUAGAUUGGUGUGAAUAUAUGUGGAUAAGUUAUCCUUGAAAAUAAAUCACUUUAAGGGAAUAUUUAUUACUACUUAAUUUUUUAUACAUGAUUUUUUAUACAUGUUUUUGAUAAAUUUUCAGAAAAAAAACUAAAAAUAACAAAAAACAACAAAAAUUAUAAAAAAUUAUAUUUUUGAUAUAUUUGCAUCGUUUUUAGUAUUUUUUAAUAUUAAUUUUAAAAAAAUUAAUUUUUUAAAAAUAUUUUAAACGUGUUUAAUUUUUAUCGUAUUAAUUUUAUAAUUAUAAAUUAUUUUUAUUGAGUUGACGUUAAUAUUAUUUGUUUUUAAAAUAAAUACAAAAUAUAAAAAAUAAAAAAAAUGGAAGGAAGAAUGUAAUUGUAGGCUUGUAGCCUAGCCACACUUUUUUUUUUUUUUAAAUAACAGUCUACAGUGGGGAAAAAAAGAGAGGAUAGAGGCAUGGGCUAUUGGCGCAGAAAUGGCGAAAAAAAAAAUAACCCUGCAUCUAUCUCUAGGGACGGCUGCCGCCUCCCUCCCUUGAGGCCAAAGACAAACCAGAGCUGCCACACCAACACCCAUCGUCCCUCUCAUCUCUCAGCCCCCACAGACUAACCUCCCCUGCACACCGGGUUCCACAAAUCCACGGUCUCCCUCUCUCGGCUCUCCCAGAACCAGAGGCCGGCCGUGGCCCCCUUGCCCUCUGUCAAAAACACAGCAGCCGCCGCCCUCCUCUUCCUCUGCUUUUCUUCCCCAAAACCGUUCCCCAGCGCCAUUUUCCCCUCUCGCCAGCCAAAGCUUUCCCUUUCCCUCAGCCCCAAAACAAACCAAAACCGGCCAUUUCCAGUUUCUGGUCCCAUAGCCGGCCGUCAACACAAACUCCCAGUCUCUCCCAGCAGCCGUCCCCAGCUCUUCCCCACACACGCCUGGACACGCCAGACCUCCCUACUCUCAGCCAACGUGAACAGCCGCCUCCAGCGUUCCCUCUCUCCAGAUCUCGCCAACCAGCAGUAGCAGCAAAGACGCGACAGAAACCCAUUCGCCAGCAGCACCUCCUUACCGCCAGCGACCUGAAGCAGAGGAGAAGAAGGCGAAAUAAAAAAAGAUCUGCAGUGAAACAGAUCUGAAAAAAAAGAAAGAAGACCGAGAACAGAUCAUUGCUUGUUGCGUUCGUUUUGGUUUUUACCCUUUUGCGGGCAACGGCGGUCCUCACAGUCAGCAGGGAAGGGAAGAAGAAAGCAUGACAGAUCCACCCGUUUCCGGGCAUUACCAGCGGCGGCGCGUGAACCCACUCGCCGCCAGUUGCGAUGGCGCGUGGAAAAGACGCGCCGCCACUGUUCAGCCGACCCAAAGGCUUCACCGCACUGUUCCUGUUGACUUGGGGCUUCUGGCACUGUUCAUGAUUUUAGUUUGGGGCCUUUUUUGGUAAAUUUAAAUUGUUUAGUGUGUUGUUCGGAUUGUGUUGAAAAUUGAUUAUUUUGUAAUAUCUAGUCUGAGAAUAUUACAGUAAAAAAAAAAGAAAAAAAAAAGGGUGAUCUGUGUUUUUUUUUAAUGUAUGUUUUGUAAAUGUUAAAAAUCAAAAAGAAAAAAAAAUUAAUGAUUUAAUUUGUAUAUGGUCAUGGAUACGAAGAAUAAAUAAAAUUAUGUUAUAUUUCUUGUAAAAAUAUAAGAAUAUGUUUAUUAAAGUUUUAAGAAUUUAAUUAACAUUUUAAUUUUUUAAAUUAUAUUAAAUCUGGAAGCAGUAAAGAAUGUUAGGGGUGUUAAUAUUUUUUCAAGCUACAAUUAGUUUUUUAUCUUAAAAUUUUUAAGAAUAAUCAAUAUACUUGAGUUUCCUUUAAUUAAAUAUUAAGUGAUGAUUUUCAAAUCAAGCCAACGAGUAAAAAUUGCCAUUGACGCCACGCGAGGCACGACUGACAGUAAGAAAACUUCUUUCUUUUGCUGCUUUAUCUACACAACAUCCUAUGCAAACAAAUGACAGUCUAAAACCAAGGAGUCUUUGCAAAAGUCUUAGCAUAAUGACAUAACUCGAUGAAUACCAGCACAUAAAUCGACGGGAGCAACCUAAAAUCCUAGAUCAAAGCUAGCAGCACACAAACAACCAAGUGGUCACCAGCUGAUCACCUAACAACAAUCGGAACACCCUUAAGAAUUCAAAACCUGACGGCACACUUCACUGACAACUAAAUAAAAAAAGAGCAAGACUAGAAAUAACACACCACAAUUAAAAGAGAAAGCGAAGAGCAACAUGGAUUGUUCUACAAAGCUGCCCUGCACAAGCUGGAUAGUUAAAGGAAAAUACAAACUAAAAAGGGUAGUUUUAUUAAAAUCUAAAAUAUGAUACACGUAGCUAUGUUUAUUCAGCCUAGUAUCUAGUUUCUUUUCAUUUUCUAUCAUUUUUUAAAAUUGUGUUUUUUUUUGCAUGUAAUCAUGCUGGUCAUCAAAGGAAGACAUAAAAUAGUUAACCAAACUAUGAAAUGUUAUAAAAAUUCCUUUGUGUUAUUAUUUUUUCGUGACAUCAAAGAUAACCAAUCCAGGAUGAAAACAACUCCAAGCCCCUGCAAGAAACACAAAAUCCACACCAAAACCGUGGAAAGGUUUUGAGAAAACCACACUCACUCAGGUGGAGAUUGCGUUUAUUUAUAUAGAGAAUGUAUACAUGUGUAGCUGGAAUACUAAGAAGGAAAGAAUCAUAACAUAAAUACAAUAUAUUACAUUCAUAUAAUUAUGAGCUAAGAAUCAGGAGGGGAUUCUGGAGAAUCCCCAACACCCCCCGCAAGCUAAGCAUGGGAUUAGAGCACAUGCAUAGCUUGGAGCGAAAGAAUGUGAAGAGUGGUCUGGAAACACUCUUGGUAAAGACAUCUGCAACUUGAAGAGUAGAAGGAACAUGUUGAAUGCGAAUACGACCAGCGACCACAAGUUCUCGAAGAAAAUGAUAGUCAAGAUCGAUGUGCUUGGAGCGCUUGUGAGAGACUGGAUUGGAGCUUAAAAAGAUGGCACUCUUGUUAUCACAGAGAAGUAGCGGUCGAGCUGGACGAGGGACGUGUAAAUCACGCAGGAGAUGAUCUAACCAUAAAACCUCGGCAGCAGUGGAAGCAAGGGCACGAUACUCAGAUUCACAGCUAGAACGAGAUACCAUAGGUUGCUUCUUGGCACUCCAGGAGACAAGGUUGUCACCGAGAUAGAUGGAGUAACCAGAAAUGGAGCGCCUAGUGUCAGGGCAUCCAACCCACUCAACAUCAGAGUAAGCAAUACUGGUAGCAGGAGAGGAGGCAGUGAAUGAAAGGCCAUAGUGAAGAGUGCCCUUGACAUAUCGAAGGAUGCGCUUCACGACUUGAAAAUGGUCAUCAGUGGGAGCAUGCAAGUAUUGGCUAACGAAGUUUACUGAAUGAGCAAGAUCAGGAUGAGUGAUGAUCAAGUAUUGCAGAGCACCAACAAGAGAACGGUACAGAGUGAUAUCUGCAAACGGGGAACCAACGGAGGAAAGAUGUUGAGCGACAACUAUAAGAGUGGAUACUGGUUUGCAAUCAAGGAGUUGAGCCCGUGUAAGAAUGUCGCGAGCAUACUUGGUCUGACUGAGAAAUAGUCCAGUUGAGGUAGAGGUGGCUUUAAGACCAAGAAAAUAGCUGAGAGAACCUAAGUCCUUGGUGGCGAAUUCUAAGUGAAGCUGUCGAAUGAAGCUGCUAAGAAGAGAGUUAUUGUUGCCAGUGAGGAUAAUAUCAUCAACAUAGAGUAAAAGAUAAAUGAUUUGCUGCUGACGAUGCAGAACAAAUAAGGAGGUAUUAGCACAGCUGCAGGUAAAACCAAGUUUCAAAAGAAAUGAGCUGAAUCGUUGAAACCAAGCACGGGGAGCCUGUUUUAGGCCAUAAAGAGCCUUCUUCAGUUUGCAAACAUGCUGAGGAAAGUGAGGAUCAACAUAUCCAGGAGGCUGCUCCAUAUAAACAUGUUCCUGCAAAAUACCAUGAAGAAAAACAUUUUUAACAUCAAGUUGACGAAGAGGCCAACCAUGAGUGAUUGCUAGUGACAGCACUACAUGAACAGUGGAAGCUUUGACUACUGGACUAAAGGUGUCAGUGUAGUCAAGACCAGGGAGUUGAGUGUAUCCUUUAGCAACAAGACGGGCCUUGAGUCGGUCAAUAGAUCCGUCAGACUGAUACUUCAUGCGAAAAACCCAUUUGGAACCCACAAUGUUUGUUUUGGGAGGUCGAGGAACAAAAUCCCAAGUGCAAUUUUUACGGAGAGCGUUGAGUUCUUCAUCCAUAGCAGCGAGCCAUGCAGGGUUUUUUGCAGCAGUCUUGAAUCCACGGGGCUCAGAUGUAGUGAGGAGGGCAUGUAAGAGACCCGAGACAUGUUGACUCAGAUAAGUGGGGUAACGUGGCCGAAAAAUGCCUGCUUUAGCUUGAGUGACCAUCGGGUGAGAGGAUGAAGCAGCAGACUGAUCAUGAUGAUGAGCUGGAGCUUCAGAAUGCAAUGGAGCUUGUGUUGGAGGAUCAGGGGCUUCAGAAGAAGCUGGGGUGUGCUGUGUGGAAGACAUCUGAUAAGUAGAAACCUGCAUAGGCUCAAGUAAAGAGUCAGAACAGAGACGACAUGCAUGUGACCGAGACCGAGAAUGAGGAUUAGAUAGAGGAACUGUGGACAAUGGGGUGGUAGAUAAUGGUGGGUCAUGGGCUUGCAUGGGCUCACUAAAACUGGAUAAAUCUAAGGAUGCAGGAGAUUGUGCGAUAGAGUUAGGUAUUAAAGGGAAAUUCAAUUCAUCAAAUUUGGCAUGGGGCGUGACAUAGAUCUUGGAGGUAAGAGGGUUUAGACAACGAUAACCUUUAUAAGAAGGACUGUAACCCAAGAAUAUACAUGGAAUGCUGCGUGGAGAAAAUUUGUUAGCAGCAUAAUCACGUAAACAGGGAUAGACUCUGCAACCAAAAGGAUGAAAAUUGAUGUAAAGAGGAGCUUUACCAUGUAGAAUCUCAAAGGGAGAAAGACCUCCAAGAAGUUGGGUAGGCAACCGAUUGAUGAUACAAGUCGCUGUACUAAAAGCGUCAACCCAAUAAUAAGUGGGUACUCGUGAAUGAAAUAAGAGUGCAAGACCCAUUUCAGUCACAUGGCGAUGCGUGCGCUCAGCGCGUCCAUUUUGAGAAGGAGUGUAGGGGCAAGACUUUUGGUGUUGAAUACCGGAGGAGUGGAGCUGAGAUUGAAAACAAUUACUACAAAACUCAGCACCACCAUCACUCUGAGAAAUUUUAAUUUUGCAAGAAUAUUGAUUUUCCACAAAGAUCUGAUAUUGAAGAAAAAUAUCAAUAAAAUAAGAUUUAAAUUUCAUGGGGUAGAGCCAUGUAAAGCGAGAGUGAUCAUCGAUAAAUAUCACGUAAUAUGCAAAACUCAUUUUUGAUUUAAUAGGAGCUGGGCCCCUGAUGUCACAGUGAAUAAGACCUAAAAUAGAGUUGGAUCGAGUAUUAUUAGUAGAAAACGGAAGCUUAUGACUUUUUGCAAUUUGACAUGUAGCACAAAUAACAGGAUUAGGCAAAAUAAAAGUAAGGGAUAAAUGUCCUUUUUUAUUCAAUAAAGAAAUAAUAGAGUGGUUAACAUGACCAAGACGCGCAUGCCAUAGAUCAUACGACGCUGUAAGGACAGAUUUAUUUAGGACAGAAAUGAAAGCAGUAUUGCCUCGCUUUAGUAUGUAAAGACUGUCAUCACAUAUUCCGAUUGCCACCACUGUUCUUGUGAUCUUGUUCUGAAUAAUAAAAGAAGAGUCAUUAAAUGUGACCAGGAGAGGAAAGUCUUUAGUCACUUUACUAAUGGACAAGAGAUUUUUUGUGUGAGAUGUGGUACCAAUAAAACAUCAAGCAAUUUUAAAUUUGGAGAGGGUUGAGAGGUACCUGUAUGGGUGAUGGGAAGAGGAGCCCCAUUUCCCACAAUAACCUUAUCCUUACCAAAAUAUUGCUCGGAGGUGGUCAGUGCAGUCGAAUCUGGCGUCAUGUGAGCGGAGGCACCGAUGUCAAGGUACCAAUCUGAGGUGCAGCCAGGAAAGGUUUCAGCAAUGUGUGCUGAUGGCUCUGCACGAUCAUAUCGAUCCUGACAUCGAUUAGUAGUGUGGCCCUCUGUUUUGCAGAUUUGGCAGUGUGGGUUAUAAGAGCGACGAGAUCUAUUAUUCCCUGAAUGACCAUCGAAGUUGCUAGAGGAGGGCCCAUUUGUGUUGCCAUGUGAGCCACCUCUGUGGUGACGAUUUCCUGUGGAACGAAAAUGUCCACCACGAAAGUGUCCUAUGUUCAUUGUGGCUGUGAACGCUGUAGAAGAGAGGGUGUGAGUUUCAAGUGAUUUUUGAAAUAAACCAAAACUUUCAACUAGAGGGACCAAAUCAUGAAAUGAAGGUAGAGGUGUAAGAGCCAUAUGUGUGGAGGAGAAGGCAGCAAACUCAAUGCCAAGAGCACGGAGAAACUAAUGAGAUUUGUCAACUUCAUCAAUUGGUCGUCCGAUGGCCACUAAUUGAUCACAAAGGCCUUUAAAUGCACAGACAAAGUCAGCAAUUGAGCGGUUUCCUUUCUUCAUGAGUUGAAGUUCAUCCUUUAGGCGAAUCUCCCAAGUUUUAGAUCUAUGGCUGAACACACGUUCAAGAACAACCCAGACAUCCCGAGAGGUUGCAAGGCCAACAGCAGCUGCCAUGGCUUCUUCUGUGAGAGAUGACAACAAUAGACUUAAGAUCCGUUGGUCUUUGAGUUUCCAUUCAAGGAAUUCGGGGUUGACAGUAGAGGUACCGUCUGUGGUGGUAAUUGUUUCGUUUGAUUGUUAAAGAGAACCAUCAAUGAAACCAAUGCAGCCUUGGCAUUGAAGGAAAAGAAUGAGCUGACUUUUCCAGAGCAAAAAAUUUAUGGCUGAGAGCUUAAUGGUGAUCAUGUGAACCAUGGUAUUGAAGGAGAGGGGCUCUGCCAUGAGGAAGAAGGGAGGAAGAUUUGUUUUGGAAUUUAACCUAGAAGAGCUCUGAUACCAUGAAAAAGUUUUGAGAAAACCACACUCACUGAGGUGGAGAUUGUGUUUAUUUAUAUAGAGAAUGUAUACAUGUGUAGCUGGAAUACUAAGAAGGAAAGAAUCAUAACAUAAAUACAAUAUUCCUAUAAUUAUGAGCUAAGAAUCAGGAGGGGAUUCUGGAGAAUCCCCAACAAACCGAACAAGGAGAUGACGAGUGGGGUGUGCAUUUAAUGCACAAUCAUUGCCCACCCAUUAACCAAUCCAAAAAAGGUUCAUUAAAUCUUGCAAAGAAGCUCAAUCUUAUGUCAAGAUAGUUGAGAAUAAUAGAAUGACUUAGGUUGUGUCUUAGCCAACCUUUCCUAUUUAUAUAUAUAUAUGUGGCAGUACACGGUAGUGACCAUAGGGAUAACAACAUUGGAAUAACCCUACAUUAAUUCCUAUACAUAUAUAUAUACAUGCUAUACAUUCUAUAAUAUGCCCCCUCAAGUUGAGGGUGGAGGAUCGACCCGAAGCUUGUAAUGGAAAGCAGUAAAGGAAGUAGCAGAAAGUGGCUUGGUGAAGACAUUUGCAAGUUGAUCCUGAGAGGGGAUAAAGCGAAUAUGAAUUUCUUUCUUCGCAACUUGGUCUCGGACAAAACGAUAAUCCACCUCAACAUGUUUAGUACAAGCAUGGAAAAUAGGAUUUGCAGAGAGAUAGGUGGCACCAAGAUUAUCACACCAAAUAGUAGGAGCAGAGACGGAGGGAACCUGCAAAUCUGUUAACAAAUAUUGAAGCCAGAUGACCUCAGUAGUGCCGUCUGCUAAGGCUUUACACUCAGCCUCAGUAAAUGAGCGAGCAACUGUGCGUUGCUUACCUGACUUUCAUGAGAUCGUCGUCUGACAAAAAAAAAAAAGGUAACCACCUAUAGACUUGCGAUCAUCAAUACUACUAGUACAAUCUGUAUCUGUAAAACCAUGUAGAGCAAAAGAGGAACCUCGAGUGAUAUGGAAACCAUAAGAUGUCGUACCUUUAAGGAAGCGUAGAAUGCGUUUAACGACGACCCAAUGAGAAUCUGUAGAAGCAUACAUAAACUGAUACUCUGUUAACAACAAAGUAGAUAUCUGGUCGGGUGAAGGCAAGGUACUAAAGAGCACCCAUGAUUUGAAGAAAUCGUGUAGGAUUAGAGAAUGGAUUAUCCGGCAGUAUAAUAACUUUUGAAGGAGAAACUAGAGUAUCAACGGGUUUGCAGGAAGUCAUACUAGCCCGAGUGAGGAUGUCAAGAAUAUAUUUGUGCUGGCACAACAUCAAACCCAUACCUGUAGAGUGAACUUCAAUACCCAAAAAGUAGUGAACCACGCCUAAGUCACGGAGCUUGAACUCAGAACUCAGUAACUAUAUUAGGCGAUGAAGCAUAGUAGAGUUUCUACCCGUAAGCAGAAUAUCAUCAACAUACACCAGGAAAUAAAAGAUAUUAGUACCAUCAGAUAAAAUAAAUAGGGAGGUGUCAACCUUGGGGCAAAAAAACCAAUGGAAAGCAGAAAGUCACUCAGACGAGUGUACCAUACCCUCGGUACCUGUUUUAAACCAUACAAGGACUUGUGCAAUCUGUACACAUGAGAUGGAAGAGUAGAGUCAACAAAACCUGGAGGUUGUUUCAAGUAGACCUCUUCAGUAAGAACACCAUUGAGAAAUGCAUUAUAAAUAUCGAGCUGAUGAAUAUUCCAAUUGCGUGAAACCGCAAUGAAGAAGACUAAUCUGACGGUGGUCUGCUUAACAACUGGACUGAAGGUUUCAGAAUAAUCAAUGCCUUCCUGCUGGGUAAAGCCUCUAGCAACUAGACGGGUUUUAUAACGCUCAAUGCUGCCAUCAACACGACGUUUGAUCUGAUACACCCAUAUGUUGCCAAAAACAUUAAUCGAAGGAUGAAAGGGAACUCGAGACCAAGUGUGAUUAGAAUGCAACGCCUUGAUCUCAUCACAUAUAGCAUCAUGCCAAACGGCAUACCUGUCAGCAUCAGAGAAGGCAAGAGGUUCAGAGAAAGGAGAGAGUAGUACCCGGGUGGAAGCUGUAUCAGCGGCAGUAGAAGCCACCAGAUUUGCUGUCUUUGGUUGCCGCAACCUAAGGACCAUAGGAUGGUGGCUGAUUAGGGGAGGUGAUGCAGGAGAAGAUGGUGGCAAGGAGGUGUCUUGGUGCAGCGGAUAAGAGGAGAAAUCAACCACCAGAUUCAGACCAGCUGAAGAGGCUGUAAGAGAAUCUGCAGCAAGCAGAGAGCUAGCAGCAGCAAUAGGGAUGUCAAUAGAGGCAGACCCUGUAGCAGCCUGGACACUGGCCAAAUAAGGAUAAGCAGAGGAGGAACCAGAGGGCGUCCCAACACCAGCGAGGCGUCAUGCUGGAGGGUAGGGGGCCUGAUUUGCAACCUGUACUUGCAGCAAAAUGGUUAGAUAAACAUGCAUGUGAUGAUGGGCAAGGGAAGGGUGGAGGCUGUGGUGUUUUGGUAGUGGGUGGUGGCAGAGCAGAGGUAGAGGAGGGAUGGUGAGGUGUUGUAUGGGUGGUGAACGAUGGGGAAUGGAUCAGAUUUGGGAGGAGGGCAAUGGCAGGUUGGGUAGGGGUUGUAGUCGAAACCUUUACAAUCUGUUUAGAAUUAUCAAACAGAAACACUUGUUCAUGAAAACAGACAUGACAAGAGAUAUAAAUGCGUUGAGAUGAAAUGUCAAAACAACGAUAACCAAGAUGAGAGGAGCUGCAAUAAAAAAACACACAUGGAGAGGAACGAAAAUUCAAUUUAUGAUUGUUAUAGGGACGCAAAAAAGGAAAGCAGAGACAUCUAAAAAUAUGCAAAAAACUGAUAAUCAAUAAACCGUUGAAACAAACAAUCAAACGGGAAUCGAUUUGCAAGAACAAUAGUAGGCAUGCGAUUUAUGAGAUUGAUCGAAGUGUCAAAAGCAUAAUUCCAAAACCGAAAUGGUGCUUUACAUUGUCCUAGAAGAGUAAGGCCGAUUUCCAUAAUAUGUCUAUAACAACGUUCUACUGUGCUAUAAUAUAAUGAUUAAGUUCCUAUAUUAACAAUAAAAAAAGUCAGAUAGGCUUCUGGUUUAGGCCUUUAUAUCUUGUUUAGAAUUUUUUUUUAUGCGAUAUUUUUUUUAUGCUUACCCUUUUAUACAAAAAAAAAAAAAUAUAAAAAACAUUAUAAAAGAUUGAAAAAACAAAAAAGUGGUUGUGUAUGUGCAUAUAACCGCAUCCUAAAUAAGAAUGUUUGUGCAUUUUUAACAAAAUAAAAUAAAAUAAAUAAAAUGAUUUUUUAUAAGUUUUAAAAAUAUCAAAAAUAGAUUUGUGUUCUCUUAUAUUUGUGGAUUUGCCAUAAUCAUUAUUAGAUUUACUAACAAAAUUAUUACGGGUAAAGUUUUUUUGUUUGACAUUAGAACUUAUUCGAUAAAUCAGCCCAUAAUUAUAUUAUCAAUGAAAUAAAAAUUAUCAAUGAUAUGUUUUUUUUAUGAUAAUUUUUAUUUGGUAUUUUAACAAUAAUUGUACGACGGAUAGAUUCAGGCUUUGAAAACCAACAAAUCAAGCUUUAAAUCUAUCAGUAUAUUAAUUAAUUGUAUAUUAUCCUUAUAUUAGAGCUACGACGUCUUGCUACACUGGAUCACCCAUCCAAAAUCAUAAAAAUGGCUAUGGAAUGUAAUAUUUUUAUUAUUAUUUUUUAAGAGAAUUUUUAUUCAUUGGCUGUGUACGCAUAAUUAUAAGUGGCGUUUAUCAAUCACAUAUAGAGCGAUAAGAUGGCGGGGGCCACAUAUUAGGAUCUUUAUAUUUUAACUUAUUAAAAUAUCUUGAAAAGACUUGUCUAGGGGUGAACAGUAAUAAGAGUUUGGGAUCAAGAAAUUUGCUCAAUUUGUGGUCUCAGGUUCGAGUUUUGUGGUUGCUCAUAUGAUGGCCAUUGAAGACUUACAUGGUCGUUAACUUCAGGGCCUGUGAAAUUAGUUGAGGUGUACACAAGCUGGCCCGGACACCCACGUUAAAAAAAAAUAUAUCUUGGAACGAACUUAUCACCUGGAAACGAAAAUUGAGGUUGACAAACUUGGCAAUUACUGCUAUUUUAACAUCUUCAGGCCUGUCUUGUAUCCAAUGUCUUUUACCUGAGCAUCAACUCCACCUAAAUAAGAGGGCACAUGCAGCAUUUGCGCGGUUCAGCUUUUCUCAAACCUUAUUUUUCACCUUUGUCACUGCUUCAUUGCUCUUCUUGUUACGCUACGAUCACAACCAAAAUCAUAAUUCGAAAAAAAUAAAAAUAUAAAAUAUAAAGCGAUCAAUACAAAGGAGAAAGGGCCAUGGAAUUUGAGUUUUUUAUUAUUAUUUCUUAAGAGAAAUUUUAUUCAUUGUCUGUAUGCGCAUAAUCAUAAGUGGCGUUUAUCAAUCACUUAUAAGGUGUCGGGGCCCACACGAAACAAAAUCUAUUGGAGUAUGUGUCGGUAGGCCGUUCGUAAAAGUAGAUCAGUAUGAAUAUCUGUUAAGUAUAGAUUAUAUAUGUUGUAAAAAAUUAAUAAAAAAAGCUAUGUGGAUAUUUUCAAAAAAAAUAUUUGAGAUUUUAAUAUUUUAUAUGAAAAAAAUAAAGAAAUAAUCCAUGUGGAUAUAGACUAUACAUGUUGUAAAAAAUUAAGUUUAAAAGAUUAUCUCAAAAUGUUUUUUAUUUCACAUUGAAAAAAUACUAUCUUAUUCUUCUAAGUUGAAAUAUUUAAACAAUUUUUUUUAUCUCACAUUAAAAAAACACAACUUUUUUCUUGUGAACAUAGAGUAUAUAUACUAAAGGGUUUCAAAUCCCACAUUGAAAAAAUAAAACAUUCUUUUAGUAUUUAUACAAUGAACGGUGAAAUGAAUUAGUAACCAAUUGAAAAAUAUGAAAAAGAAAGGGUCUCUGGGUAGGCGAAAAAACACAUUUGAAAAAAAAAAGGUCUCUACUGGGUUUUUGCUAGGUCACCCGAGUUCCGGGUUGACCCGACAGGUCAAUCGGUUUUCUCCCGGCCAAUUGCAAGCCUGAAUUUUGACAAACUCGACCAACGCUAUUGGGUCUUGCUGACAACAGGGCCCAACGCUACUAAGUGCUAUUGGCAAGAGGGCCUAACUCUGUUGGGACUUGUUGGGCAGCAAGACCCGCUAUCAUUGGAUCUCGCUGUGGAGCCAGACCCAGCUGGGCCCAACGCUGCUAGGCAGCAGGGCCAACAUCAUUGGGUCAUACUUGGUAGAAGGACUCCACAGCGUUGGGUCCUGCUGGGAAGCAUGACCCACUAUCCUUAUAAUAUUACCAAAAAUAAUAUUAUAUUAUAAUAUUUAUGAAUUGUUUUUUAAUGGAUUUUAUUGUUAAAAAAAUCUCUUAUAUAAUACAAAUAUAUAAAGUAAAUGAUGUGAAUAAACAAUUUAUUUAGAGCUCCAUCAACUUUAAUAUGAUAAUAUUAGAAUUAGAAUUUUUUAUUUUAUUUUAAAGAGUUCAUUGCGAUUAUAUGUGAGACAUAUAUUAAGAAUAUGCACGUAUAAUUUUUUUUUUGCCACUAUUUAACUAUUUUUUAAAUAUUUAUAAAGUUUGUUAAAAUAUAUAAAUCAUUUAGUCUAAUCUAAAAAAAUCAAAGAUAACACACUACAAUUACCAAGAUUUUUUUUUUUAAAUAUUACUAAAUGAAUUCCCCUUUUAUGUCUAUUAAAUAUAACAUAAUCCUUCAAUUUCAAUAGGGGGGACAACUUUUCUCUUUUGUUUUCCCUUAUUUCUUUAGUUUUUUUUAUUGACAUAGAUUAUGCAUACACUACAUUUGCCAUCAUUAUUAAUGUGCUAACAUUUUUGAAACGCAAAAACAAACAUGUUUUAAUAAGAAAAUUCAACGCAACCUCAAAUAAACAAAAUAAUUAUCAUCACCCAACUUUUGUACAAUAUAAAAAAAGUCUCGUCAAUUUUUUUUACUGCAUGGAAAAAAAUUACAUAAGAGAAAAAGAAAAAAAAUUCAAGAGGAAAAAAAAAUAAAAAUCUUAAUUUGAAGUAAACAAAAAUAAAAAAAAUUUAAAUUUUUUUUAAAAGCAGUUUUGACAGGCAAAAACAAACAUGCUUUAAUAAGGAAAUUCAACCCAACCUCAAAUAAAAAAAAAUAUCACCACUUAAUUUUUGUACAAUAUAAAAAAAUUCCCAUCAAUUAUUUCUCUCUUUACCGUAUGAAAAAAUAUAAGAGAAAAGAAAAAAAAAGUCUUGGGUCCUUCUGGGGGCAGGACCCAAUGCUGAUGGGUCCUGCGUGGGGCAUGACCCAAAACCAUCUGAUGGGUCCUGCGACGAUAAUGGGUCCAGCAGGACCCAACACCAUUGGGUCUUGCGGCAACAACCCGUUUUGACUUACAAACAGCAAAGACAAUGCCCCCACAGGCGCUAUAGUGUCGUCUACAAUGCAAAUACUCUAUAUCUAUAAUGUCAUUUAUAGUGCAAUGAGUCUCUAUCCAUAGUAAAUGCACAAUAUUUUUAUAAUAAGUAACUAUAGUGGCAGAAAAAAGCAGAGUAGCUCUCGAAGCCUUAAAAGAAAAAAAUAGAGUACUAACUAAAAGCCGUGAAAGUCAACUAUGCAAAUCUACAAUUAACUACCUCUUGAUACAUAGUAUAUAUACAGUAGAAAUCCCAUAUAUUUUUUCGUGAAGAGUUUUUACAUGAAUUGAUAAUAAUGUUCCAUUAACUUUUGUUCCAUUUACUUUGGUUCCAUUGACGGUAGAGAGGACCUUUGGAUUAAUAACAACAAAUUGAAAAUGUUUGAGUGGAAAAUUAGGUGUACAAUUUAAUUAGGUGGAAAAUGUUUCUCAAAUUAAUGAUAAAAAAUAGUGUAUGUUAAAAUAUUAAGAAUAUCAUAAUAAAAAACAGGAUUAAUUUGAAACGAUUUCUAUGUGUCUAUUUUUCUCGAAAUGAAAAACAAUAUAGUAUAACAUAUUUUCCAGUUUCCUGGGUUGAAAAAAUGUUUUAAAACUUUAGAAAUGAACAUAAUUUUUGACUUUUUAUUGGAAAAAAACUUGAAAAACAAAACUGAAAAAGUAAAAGAAAAUUUAUUUUGUGAUACAGGCCCUUUGACUCCAAAUCUAGGUGAUUAUGUCAUUUAAAUAAAGGUUUAGAAAUUGAGUUUUGUUAUUCAAAAGAGACAAACUUUUAUCGGUAACAAGAUGAUAAAGUACAUGAGGAGAGAAAACAAAAUUAAAACUAAAAACAAUUGAUGCAACCAUACCAUAUUCUUUCCAUAGCAGCUCCUUCGACAGAGCCUCAUUCCCUCCCAACCCCUUGUUAAGCAGACACAUCAGCUGCAACAUUUGCUUCACGCAGAACAAGCACAAACUGAACUUUGAAAGAAGAGCUUAAAGAGAGUUGAAAUAGAGAAGAACUCAAGAGCAUAUUUCCAUGGCUGAGCCAUCCCACAACAAUUGAAGAAUCUGAUUCCACCACCAGAUUCUGAGCACAAAAGUAUUUUUUAAAGGAUUUAGCUUUUGAAGAAGAAAAUGUCUUUUUUAAAUUGAAGUCCCCAUUCCUUAUUUAUAAAUUUUUUUUAUGAAAAGGGUCUUUUUUUUUUAUUAACAACAUCAUUUUUUUUAAUAAAAAAUCAAAGUAAUUAAAAUAAAUAUCCGUAACAAUCUCAAUACUUUAAAUUGAGAAGGGAAAAAUUUAUUUCUUGGGAAAAAAAAUAUCAUUUUCUUAUUGUUUUUUUUCUUACAAAAACAUGUCGUUUUAUUAUGAGCAUAUUUUUCUAAAUAAUAACUUAUCCUAAUCUAAAGAGCAAGUUUCAAACAAAAAUAAAAAAUUCACGAGUUCAUGAUUUUUAUGUGUUUGUAUAAAAAAAUAAAACAAUAAUGAAUUCGUGAAAAGUAUAUAAACACGUAUUUCCUUACAAGGAAGUUUAAAAAGAAUAAAAAGCUUCAAAGCUACGUCUUUGUAAGAAAACUUCAUUCUUUUGCUGCUUUAUCUACACAGCAUCCUAUGCAAACAAAUGACAGUCUAAAACCAAGGAGUCUUUGCAAAAGUCUUAGCAUAAUGACAUAACUCAAUGAAUACCAACACAUAAAUCGACGGGAGCAACCUAAAAUCCUAGAUCAAAGCUAGCAGCACACAAACAGAAGUGGUCACCAGCUGAUCACCUAACAACAAUCAGAACACCCUUAAGAAUUCAAAACCUUACGGCACAAACUUUCACUGACAACUAAAUAAAAAGAGAGCAAGACUAGAAAUAACGCACCAAAAUUAAAAGAACAAGCGAAGAGCAACAUGGACUGUUCUACAAAGCUGCCCUGCACAAACUGGAUAGUUAAAGGAAAAUACAAACUAAAAUGGGUAGUUUUAUUAAAAUCUAAAAUAUGAUACACAUAGCUAUGUUUAUUCAGCCUAGCAUCCAGUUUCUUUUCACUUUCUGUCAUUUUUUAAGAUUGUGUUUUUUUGCCUGUAAUCAUGGUGGUCAAUCAAAGGAAAACAUAAAAUAGUUAACGAAACUAUGAAAUGCUGUAAAAAUUCCUCUGUGUUAUUAUUUUUUCGUGACAUCAAAGAUAACCAAUCCAAGAUGAAAACAAUUCCAAGCCCCUGCAAGAAACACAAAAUCCACACAGAAACCGGGCAAAGAGAUGUCAAGUGGGGUGUGCAUUUAAUGCACAAUCAUUGUACACCCAUUAACCAAUCCAAAAAAAGCUCAUUAAAUCAAUCUUAUGUCAAGAUGGUUGAAAAUAAUAGAAUGGCUCAGGUUGUGUCUUAGCCAAUCUUUUCUAUUUAUAUAUAUGUGGCAGUACACGACAGUGAUCAUAGGGAUAACAACAUUGGAAUAACCCUACAUUAAUUCCUAUACAUAUAUAUACAUGCUAUACAUUCUAUAAUAUGCCCCCUCAAGUUGAGGGUGGAGGAUCGACCCGAAACUUGUAACGGAAAACAGUAAAAGAAGUAGCAGAAAGUGUUUCUAUUUAUAUAUAUGUGGCAGUACACGACAGUGAUAAUAGGGAUAACAACAUUGGAAUAACCCUACAUUAAUUCCUAUACAUAUAUAUACAUGCUAUACAUUCUAUAAUAUGCCCCCUCAAGUUGAGGGUGGAGGAUCGACCCGAAACUUGUAACGGAAAACAGUAAAAGAAGUAGCAGAAAGUGGGUUGGUGAAGACAUCUGCAAGUUGAUCCUGAGAGGGGAUAAAGCGAAUAUGAAUUUCUUUCUUCGCAACUCGGUCUCGGACAAAACGAUAAUCCACCUCAACAUGUUUAGUACAAGCAUGGAAAAUAGGAUUUGCAGAGAGAUAGGUGGCACCAAGAUUAUCACACCAAAUAGUAGGAGCAGAGACGGAGGGAACCUGCAGAUCUGUUAACAAAUAUUGAAGCCAGAUGACCUCAGCAGUGCCGUCUGCUAAGGCUUUAUACUCAGCCUCAGUAAAUGAGCGAGCAACUGUGCGUUGCUUGCCUGACUUCCAUGAGAUCGGCGUCUAACAAAAAAAAAAACAAGGUAACCACCUAUAGACUUGCGAUCAUCAAUGCUACCAGCCCAAUCUGCAUCUGUAAAACCAUGUAGAGCAAAGGAGGAACCUCGAGUGAUAUGGAAACCAUAAGAUGCCGUACCUUUAAGGUAGCGUAGAAUGCGUUUAACGACGCCCAAUGAGAAUCUGUAGAAGCAUACAUAAACUAACAGACUCUGUUAAUAACAAAACAAAUAUCUGGUCAGGUGAAGGGAAGGUACUAAAGAGCACCCACGAUUUAAAGAAAUCAUGUGGGAUUAGAGAAUGAUUAUCCGGCAGUAUAGUAACUUUUGAAGGAGAAACUAGAGUAUCAACGAGUUUGCAGGAAGUCAUACCAGCCCGAGUGAGGAUGUCAAUAAUAUAUUUGUACUAGCACAACAUCAAACCCAUACCUGUAGAGUGAACUUCAAUACCCAAAAAGUAGUGAACCACGCCUAUGUCACGGAGCUUGAACUCAGAACUCAGUAACUAUAUUAGGCGAUGAAGCAUAGUAGAGUUUCUACUCGUAAGCAGAAUAUCAUCAACAUACACUAGGAAAUAAAAGAUAUUAGUACCAUCAGAUAAGAUAAAUAGGGAGGAGUCAACCUUGGGGCAACAAAACCAAUGGAGAGCAGAAAGUCACUCAGACGAGUGUACCAUACCCUCGGUACCUGUUUUAAACCAUACAAGGACUUGUGCAAUCUAUACACGUGAGAUGGAAGAGUAGAGUCAACAAAACCUGGAGGUUGUUUCAUGUAGACCUCUUCAGUGAGAACACCAUUGAGAAAUGCAUUAUAAAUAUCGUGCUAAUGAAUCUUCCAAUUGCGUGAAACCGCAAUGAAGAAGACUAAUCUGACGGUGGUCUGCUUAAUAACUGGACUGAGGGUUUCAGAAUAAUCAAUGCCUUCCUGCUGGGUAAAGCCUCUAGCAACUAGACGGGCUUUAUAACGCUCAAUGCUGCCAUCAACACGACGUUUGAUCCGAUACACCCAUAUGUUGCCAAAAACAUUAAUCGAAGGAUGAAAGGGAACUAGAGAUUAGAACGCAACACCUUGAUCUCAUCACACAUAGCAUCAUGCCAAAUGGCAUACCUGUCAGCAUUAGAGAAGGCAAGAGGUUGAGAGGAAGGAGGUGGAAGCUGUAUCAGCGACAGUAGAAGCCACCAGAUUUGCUGUCUUUGGCUGUCGCGACUUAAGGACCAUAGGAUGGUGGCUGAUCAGGGGCGGUGAUGCAAGAGAAGAUGGUGGCAAGGAGGUGUCCUGCUGCAGCAGAUAAGAGGAGAAAUCAACCACCAGAUUUAGACUAGCUGAAAAGGCUGUGAGAGAAUCUACUGCAAGGAGAGGGCUAGCAGCAACAACAGGGAUGUCAGUAGAGGUAGACCCUGUAACAGCCUGGACACUGGCCAAAUAAGAAGAAGCAGAGGACGAACCAGAGGGCGUCCCAACACCAGCAGAGGCGUCAUGCUGGAGGGUAGGGGAGACUGAUUUGCAACAUGUACCUGCAGCAGAAUGGUUAGAUAAACAUGGAUAUGAUGAUGGGCAAGGGAAGGGUGGAGGUUGUGGUGUUUUGGUAGUGGGUGGUGGCAGAGCAGAGGUAGAGGAGGGAUGGUGAGGUGCUGUAUGGGUGGUGAACGAUGGGGAAUGGAUCAGAUUUGGGAGGAGGGUAGUGGCAGGUUGGGUAGGGGUCGUAGCCGAAACCUUUACAAUCUGUUUAGAAUUAUCAAACAGAAACACAUAUUCAUGAAAACAGACAUGACAAGAGAUAUAAAUACAUUGAGAUGCAAUAUCAAAACAACGAUAACCAAGAUGAGAGGAGUUGUAACCAAAAAACACACAUGGAGAGGAAUGAAAAUCCAAUUUAUGAUUGUUAUAGGGACGCAAAAAAGGAAUGCAGAGACAUUUAAAAGUACAUAAAAAACUGAUAAUAAGGAGACCGUUGAAACAAACAAUCAAACGGGGAUCGAUUUGCAAGAACAAGAGUAGGCUUGCGAUUUAUGAGAUUGACCGAAGUGUUAAAAGCAUAAUUUCAAAACCGGAAUGGUGCUUUACAUUGUCCUAGAAGAGUAAGGCCGGUUUCUAUAAUAUGCCUAUGACGACGUUCUUUUGUACCAUUUUGUUCACGAGUGUGAGGACAAAUCAGAUGAUGAUGAAUACCAAUGGUCUGAAAGAAAAUGGAUAGUUUGUGAUAUUCACUGCCCCAAUUAAUUUGAAUAGAUUUUAUUUGUAAUGAAAAUUGACGCUCAACAAAAUUUUUAAACCGGUGGAAAACAGAGUAAACAUCAGUCUUGGCAAUAAGAGGAUAAUACCAUACAUAUUUUGUGUGCGCAUCAAUAAAGAUAACAAAAUAACGAUAGCCAUCCAAAGAAAAAAGAGGAGCAGGACCCCAUACAUCAUUAAAAAGUAAUUCAAGCGGAGCAGAAAUUUUGUGACCUAUAGGUCCUAAAGACAACGCGAUGAUUUUUCUAAUGGACAACUUUGACAUUGAAAAUUAAGAUGUUUGUUGUUACAAAUGAUCUUAUUUUUCAAGACUAACAAUUGAAAAAUACGAGAGGUAGGAUGACCUUGUUGACGGUGCCAUAAAUCAGCAGAAGCAGAAAUGCAGAGAGACCAAUAGGCUUGAGGAACUGAUGAGACGAAAGACCUGGACAAAGCAUAAAUACCAUCUUUACUCUAACCUGAGAGGAGUACUUCAUUGGUGUUGAGAUCCUUGGCAUAAAACAUAAAUGGAUGGAAUUCAAAAUAAACAUUGUUAUCGAGAUAAAAUUUA